AAUGUAUAAGACACUCGUCCAGUGGGGGUUGCACAGGCUUACCUCUCUUAGAAGCCUCGACAUUUUUGGAUGUGAUGAUGAAGCAGAGUGUUUUCCAGACGAGGAGAUAGGAAUGACGCUGCCCACCUCUCUCACUCAUCUGCACCUUUUUGAUUUCGAAAAAUUGAGAUCUCUGUCUUCGACGGGUUUUCAGAGCCUCACCUCUCUUCAAUCUUUGGAUAUCUGGUUUUGCCCAAAUCUCACAUCAUUCCCAAAGGUGGGCUUUCCAUCCUCACUUGUGGAAUUACGCAUUAGAGAUUGUCCAAAGCUUAAAAAAGCGUGCAAAAGAGAUCAAGGAAAAGAGUGGCCCAAAAUUGCUCACAUCCCUUGCGUUGAGAUAGACGAUAAAUUCAUAUACCAUCCAAAAUCAGAGGUGUAGAGUGUAUUAUUAAGGUCAGUUGAUUUAUGUUAUCCACCAUAACAAGCUCCUCCUUUUUUUUUAAAUAAUAAUUUUGCAGUCACUCGCGUGAUUCCGUUUUCACAAGUCAGAUUGUAUGUUGAGGCUAUUUGCCUUUUAAUCGCAGAUUAAAUUAUAACACUUAUCUUAAAAUUUAAUACCAUAGACAGAUAGACGAUUUUUUAAUCCAAAGUUUUUUUAUUCACUUCAGUUAGCAUUUUUUUUUUCCCCAAAUCAUGCAAGCCGAGAGUUUCAAUCAACAGAAUUUUAUUCACUCAUUGACUUUUCAACUGCUGUGGUUAUUUAUGGGUGAAAGAUAAAUUUCUUAGAUGGUAGAUAUAUCGACAUUUUAGAUUUCAGAUAUUUGUCACCAAUUUCAUUCCUUUUUUUAAAAUUUUUUUUAAGCAAGUUUGACUAAUUUUAACCAGAAUUGGAGUAUAAUAUUUUGGAGCAAGCAUACUUGAAAUUUCUGUCUUCAAUUUUUUUGAUGCUUUUUUAAUUUUGAUCUAGUAAAAAUACAUAGCCUUCACCGGCAGGAUUCUAGUCUUGGCUUUCACCUCUCUAACUCAUCUGUCCCUAUUGGGAUUCCAGAAAUUUAAAUUUCUGUCUUCAAUGGGUUUUCAAAGCCUCACCUCUCUUCGAUUUUUGUGGAUUGGGAAUUGCACAAAUCUCACAUCAUUUCCCGAGGUCGAGGAAAAGAGCGGCCCAAACUAUCAGCGGUGUUGAUUCUCUUAUUAAGGUCAGCUGAUUUCUAUUAUCCACUCUGACAAUCUCCUAUUAGUGUUUUUUUUUUAAAAAAUUUGCAGUUCUGUAUAAUUGAAAUGCCACUCACUUGUUUCCUUCUUCACAGGUCAGAUAGUAUGUUAAAGCUAUUAGUGCUGCCUCAUAGGUUGAUUACUCACAGAUGAAAUCAUAACUUUUAUCUUAAAAUUUAAUAGCAUACACAGAUAGACGAUUUUUAGUCCAAAGUUUUUUUUAUUCACUUCAAUCAAAAUUUUAGAUUGCAGAUUUUUGUCGAGUAUUUUCAUUCCAAUUUUUUCAUUUUUUAUUUUAAACCAGAAUUGGAGUAUAAAAUUUUGGAGCGCGCAUACUCUGAUGCAUGCAAUUAACUGUUUUUAAUCGUUGGAUUUUGAAAUUAAUGAUGGUAAGAUGUGUACUUAUUCUUUCUUCCAACAACCUUGCCUUCUUUCUUCGGUCGCAUAUCUAAUGAAUAUUUCUCUGUUUAGUUAAGGAUGAAUGCUUGGAGUGGGGUACUUGGUAACAUUUCUGCCUUAGAUGAAUCCUUGAAGAAAUGCCCGCAGUUCCUGAGACCAAAUACAGGUCUGAUUCAAAACAGCACCUUUCCCAGAAAAUAUGAUCCAAGGCAAAGUCAUGUUCUGAUAAUGUUUCCUUAAGUACUAAGUUGCAAGGAAACUUGAUUCAUUAACUACAGUUUUUUAUUUUUAGGACCUUGUAUCUGAAAGGUUCAGUGUUUUUUUUUUUCAAAUUUAUUGUUCAGAUCUCAGAGGAGUAUAUGGUUUAGAUUACAAAACACCCAUGAUUAAUUUCAUUUUUUUUUUAAUUUCAGGGAGAAGAAGUGGUCAGUUUCAAUCCGGAAUUGGAAUAUGGCAAUUUGGUUCAAGCAAACACACCUGGUCACUUGGUCAGUGGUCACUUGGUCAGCGAACCUGAACUUUACGCAGUUUUUUCAACUCAGUGAUUUUUGGAACGCAUAUUGGUGUAAGGAAAUCAAAAGAAAUUUAUGCAUUGUCAAAUUCUGAUAUUUGCUAUAUAUUAUACAUUCUAAAGUUUCUCCAGUUUGUUCUCAGAUUACCAUCAUUUUUUGCUUUCACCAACCAAACAAAAACAAAAUGAGUGGCUUUCCGGUGGAUAUUUAAUCGGAGGUAUGACUGGAUUUUUUUCACUUCUGUAAAUCUUGCAUUUUAAACUGGCAAAUUUAACUUUAAUUUUAAUAGGACUUUGUUGGUACCUUGUGUUCCAGAAACUAGAAAGAUGUGUAGUUUUCAGAUAAAGGGGCUUGUAAAUUCUCUAGUAAGAAUCCAAUAAUUUGCUUUUGCACGUUCAUUUUAUUUGUGGAUCCUUGCAUCUGAAUUUGAUCAAUCCAAAAGGAAUUGCUUUUAGACAGAAGAAGAAUAGCAGUACCUAGCCUAUGACAUAGUAUAUGGACCUGCAAACCUGAAACUAUUAGUUUGAGGUAAAAAAUUCAUGACCCUCACAUGUUAACUUCUUCUAGUUACUUUCAUGAAAAACACAUUUAAGAAAUUUGCAAUUUUUUGUUAGUUUCGUAUCCGAUGUUGUUUUCUGUUUUAGCAUUUGUAGAAUCUACUGUAUUAUAUUUUGGCAGUUGCAGUAUCUGAGGUAUGUUUUGCAUUUAACUUGCUUUGUUUGUUUUGCUUGUGACUUAAGAACACCAAUAUUUGCCAGAGAUUUAGAGAAGCAUAUCAAGAUGCUUGGCAAACUUGACAAACUUCAAGAUCCUCCAUUCUUCACAACGCAAAACUUGUGAGUACACCUAUGCCCGCAAUUAUUGUGAAAUGCUUGCAAUUUUGAUGCACUGAAAUGGUUUGUUGAUGCAAAGGUUUAAACUUUUAAGAUUCACCCUGCAGGGUAGUUGGAUGCUGUAUAAUCGAAAAGCGACCAACAUCAAGAAUUAUGACUCCAAGACCGGGUUUGCAUUAAUUCAAUCAGCUGAAAUCAUGAUGCAAAUGACACUAUCAGCUGGACUUAGAGACCAGUCAGAUCAAUCAUCCUUUUAUCAACAGUUAAUGUCAUGAUGGUGGCUAUCGGAGGAAACAAAGGAUGUGUCGGAAUCAAUAUGAACAGUGAGAAGAAUGAGAGGAGCUUUGAUUACAAGUAGGCUCAAUGAACUCAUGCUGGUAAGUGGUAAUUAAAGAAAUUUGUACGCUUAGUAGAGUUUCAAUAUUUUCUGUUUGGGAUAUAGUUGAUAAUUUGAUACUCUGAUUAAGAAGCCUGAUUAUAGUAGCUGACUUUUUUUUUGUGGUUUGCUGUUGUUUAUUCUUUCGAUUAAUUUCAACAUUAGGUUGAUCUGUUGAAGAACAAACUUGGGUUUGAUUAUGCUUUAACUACAAGGAAGAGCCAGGCUUGGAUGCAGGCGUUCAGCUUUUAAUGGGUAAGAACAUAUGUAUGCUUUAACCAUGUUUCUCACUUAUUACAAUGCAUGCAUUGAAGGCAUCUGAGCUGAUCCUGAAAAUGUGAUGGAAAUACUUCUCUGUUUACAUAAAACAGGACAAGAGAUCUCUGAUCAUGCCUGAGAAUUCGUUGCAUUUAAAAUUUCUACCAUUGCCAAAAAUAGAAUAAACUAGGGAUAGAUUAGCUUAAGACUCAAUUUUGAGAAGGAAGUUUGCACAUGCAGCCUAAAAAAUCAUGUCCGUGUUGUAUACUUGUAUGUUUCUUUGGGAAAUGAAAGAUUCUGUGUGUUCUUUUGUUUCAAGUUUGCUGAAAUCACAUUUGUUUUCUUAGAUGCUUUUGGGAAGGUAACAACAUCAAUUUCAUAAAUGCUGGGGUAAGAUGCAUCACGCAGUGCUACUCAACAUGAGAAUUCCCGGCCGCAUUACCUGUAUGUUGAGUGAUCGCACAGUACAACCUUUAGAAGCUUGUAAGGAGUAGACAACUAGAUGCGAAUAGUUUCAAUAUGGAUUCGCAUCAAAUGAUCUCUUGCCAGUGAUUACUAUAACCCCUAUCCCAAAAUUCUUGGCAUUGGUCAUACCAAUAAUGAAGUAUUGUGUACGUUGAAGACAUAGCUCAAGGCCUUGCGAAAGCUCCGUCAGCCUUUGUAUUGGAAAACAGUUGGUUGUAGUUGCUUCUGAGUGAUAUUAUUAAUAGAUACUGUAAAAAUGAACUGUGCCACUCAUUUUCAGAGCCCUGUUAAGAUGUGUUGGUAAUGUGUUUGAAGGUUGUUUGAUUUAUGUUGUAUUCAGCUACAAAUCAAAGAUUCAGAACAUGGUUAUGUUACUGGUUUCCAAAUCAAAAAAAUGCCUUGUGAUGUUAGUGUUCAUUUUUUUCACAGGAGAUCAGGUUCCCUGUUGAUGAAUCAAGAAGGCAAACGCAUCCAUGUCUUAAGUUCAAAUGUGUCUCUUCUAUUUUCUAUUACUGACUCCUUUAUUUUGAUUUCUUCAUUGUAAUGGAAUUGGUUUUUUAUUCCAAAUUAGUCAAAACCUCCUAGAGUCAUUAAGUUCUGUUAGCAUUUGAAGAUAGAACUAGAACUAAAUGAUUGACUGGAUUAAAUUCCGAUAAAGAAUUAAGUUAUAUAUUUAGAGAUAUUAUGUUUUUUUUUUUUUCAUUUGUUCAAUUUGGUUAGUGGUGAUUUCUUAAAGACUCAAUCCAUGUGCGUUUAUGCAUUUUUCUUUUGCCUUAAUUUCUGUUUCUUGGGGAGUUUAUACAGAUUCUUAUUUUAUGCUUCACAUGCCACAUGAAAGAUCGAAGCCUUUUGUGUGAUUAGAACUGACUUGCAUCACAGUAACUUUAAAUCACUGCGACAUUUUUAUAAUAACAGUCUGAGAUCUCCCUGCAGGAUUCAAAGCAUUUUAUUUUAUAUUAAACUCCUUUACGUGGGUUUGGACACUACCACAAGUUCUUUAAAUACUAAAACGAUUUUAAGUCUUUUGUAUCAUCUGAUUUAAAUACAUGAAAGCACUCGUGGCUGCAAAAAUACAGUUGGGGCUAUUUCUAAAGUCUUCAACAGCAUUUUCUUUUUAACCUUUAUCCUCAUGGUUGUUUUUGCAGUUGUUCUUUAAGAAAACAUUUAAAAGGUUCUCUUUAUGGAUUUUUGAAAAUAAUUUUAACAUGAGCAAUUUUCAGAAGCACUUUAGAUGUCUGGCAUUUAGGAAAUUUUAUUUCGGUGUCACAUAAAAUACUUAGGAAGUUAAAUUUAUUUAUUUAUGAGCAUGUGCCAGUGCCCAGUGGCAUCCUCUUCACUUGUGAUAGUCAAAUGUAUUAUACGAUACAAUAUUAGCUUGACUGUAGCACAGAGGAGAAUAGGGUUGGUGUUGGUCUGAACCAGCUUAUGUAACAGCUGCCAAAGGAUAAUUUAAUUGUACUUUGAGUAAAGCUUUUGCGAAUUAAACAAGUGAUAAUUUGUUUUUAUUAAGAAAAACUUAAGGAAUUAGGCUAUUUUAACUGACCAAAUUACACAUUAAAAAUUCAUUUACAAAAAUAGUUUUUAGUUAUUAAAAUAUUCCUAAAUUAAAUUAUAAUUAUGGACACUAAAAUAUUUUUUUUAUAUUUUACUCUUUGAAACUGUCUUUAUAUUCGAUAUUAUAUUUUUUUCUUAAACUCUAAAUUGAUUUUUUUUUUUGAUUAAUUUUAAAACACCUAUAAAGUGAUUCAUAUUGAUUUUAUACUAACAAACUAUUAUAGCACAUUCGAAAAAUAAUUAAAUCGUUCUUAUUUACAUAGUGAAAAUGCAAAUAGCUCGUUCAAAUGUUAAGGAAUUGGAGAGCUGCUGCUGGAGAUGAAAGAUGUGAAUUAAACAUCAGAAAAAAAAUUAUGUUUACUAUCUUGCCAGACCAAGCACCGAAAAGCAUCGUAAAGAAAAAUUAGAUAAUUUAGAAGAUAAAGCACGUGGAAUGGAGGCAGAAAGCAAGUAAUGAUAACUCUUUCGACAAACUAAUAUAUACCAAAAUGCAAUAUCAAAAAUGAAAAUAAAAAUUCAUUACGAAUACGUGUUAAAGAUAUCCCAAGUAUAGAUGUGACUGAAAUAUUUGAGAUUGAAGAAGAAUUAAGACUCAAAAUCAAUUGGGAGGAAUAAAUGAGAAACCUCAAUACCAAAAAAUACACGCGCAAAUCCUAAUACUAAUUGUAAUUGCAGAUAAAUAGCAUAAUACGAAUAAAUUCCAUGGGCAACUAUUUCAUUGAGAAAUUAAUUAAAUCGUGUAUUAAUAUUUUGUAUACAUAUAUUUUUCUAUAUAUGACUUUCGGUAAUUUAAUUUUCCACUUAUCAUUUUUACUCCAAAAAAAUAAUUGAGAAUAUUAUUUAUGUUUUGGUGCAAAAUAUUUGAACAAUAUACAAAUUUUCAGUUUAAUAAAUCUAAACAUCUAUUAAGUUAUAAAUGAAUUUAAUGGGUUUAAUUAAUAAAAUUACUAUUAUUAUAUAAAUUGGAUUUAGUAAUGGUACAUUGGGUGGGUUUGUUGAGUAAAUUUUAAAAUUUUGAAAUUUAAGGAUGGGUUUAUUUAGUAAAUGAGUUAAGGGAGUAGUUUGUUGGGAUUCACAUAACGCCACCAAAUUCAAAUGUAAAAUUUAUGGAAAAAGAAGCUAUUGAGUUAUUCUUUUUAAAAAAAGAAUUAAAAUGUCAAGAAUACCUUUAUUUAAUUUUAUAAUCUUAUUUUAUAGUCAUAUUUUAUUUCCACCUUAACAUAAUUUUAAAAAACCUUAACUAAUAAAUUCUAUAUUUUUUUUAUAAAAGUUAUCAUUAAUAUCCAAACGGCUAAAGAUUUUUUUUUUUAAAAAAAAAGAAACUAUGCUUACAAAAGUUGUAUACAUUAACAAUAAAUUUAGUCCAAAGAAUAAAGUUAUUCCAAACAAGCACUCCUAUUCAUCUUGCUAAUGAAUCAAGAUGACUGAAUCCAUUCUCUAAGCCAAAUCUAUUUUCACUUCUAGGUCAGAAAUUGUCAUUAAAAAAGUGUUUGAUAAAAUAUGCUCUGGGAACACUAAUUCGUCAGAUGGUUACUCCAAGUUUAUGAAAUCAAUGGGGUUUCAUCAUAUUCAUAACAUUCUUCUUUAAUGUCUAUUCUAACAAAGAAAUUACUAGAAAACUUUUACUAGAAAAACUAACCACAAUUCAUCAUUCAUUUAUAUCUUAAGUAAGCGUAAGAUUUUAUCAUUAAAAUCUCAUCAUGAAAAAACUCAUGGGAGAAAAACUAUAAAAAUUGAAGAAAAAAGAGUAUGGCGUGCAUGUAAAUUAUAUCGAUUUUAUCUAUAUGACAAAUAAGACUCUCUUUUACAAUGGCACGGAUGCUUCAUUGAGUAAUCAUGAUUCUUGCUGGUAGUGCUUUGUUGUAUCAAUCUGCUAGCUAUUCAGCUUUCUUUCUUUCUUUCUUCUUUUUAUUUUUUUUGUUUUCAAAUAGCUUGUGGUUGUAGAAAUAUUUCAAUUAAACUAUACUUAAGUACUUAUUUGGUAUAACUUCUUUACUAGCCAAAAGAUUUUUUUUUUGGUUUUUUAUAAUUUAAUUAUACUUUAACUAGAGUUUUUGGGAUUAAACAAGUGAUAAUUUCUCUCUGUUAAGAAAAACUCAAACGGUAGGGUUAUCUCAAUCCACCAAACUAUUUAUUAAAAAUCCACUUAUGAAAAUAAUUUUUAAUUAUUAGAAUGCCUCUAAAUUAAAUUACAAUUAUAGACACUAAAAUAUAGUAAAAAAAAUUUUUUUUUACUCUUUAAAACUGUCUUUACAUUCGAUAUCAUAUCUUUUUCUUAAAAUCUAAAUUGAUUUUUUUUUUAUUAAUCUCAGAACACAUAUGAAGUGAUUCAUAUUGGUUUUAUACUAACAAACUAUCAUAGCACAUUCGAAAAUAAUUAACUCGUUCUUAUUUGCAUAGUGAAAAGGCAAAUAGUUCAUCCAAAUGUUAAAGAAUUGGAGAGCUGCUGCUGGAGAUGAAAGAUGUGAAAAGCAUGGUAAAGAAAAAUUACAUAAUUCUCACUUAGAUGAGGAAGAAAAAAAAAAGAAUACAAUUAGAAUGAGAGGUAGCCAAUAGCCACUAGCCGCCGCCACCGCCACCAGUGAAACUAUUUCACAUAAUAGAAGAUAAAGCACGCGUAAUGGAGGCAAAAAGCAAUUAAUGAUAACUCUUUUCGACACACUAAUACAUAUCAAAAUGCAAUAUCGGUCCUAACAAAAUGAAAAUAAAAAUUCAUUACGAAUAUGCGUUAAACAUAUCCCAAGUAUUGAUGAUGUGAUUGAAAUAUUUGAGAUUGAAGUAUAAAUAAGACUCAAAAUUAAUUGAGAGGAAUAAAUGAGAAACUCUAAUACUAAUAAAAUACAUUCACAAAUCCUAAUGCUAAUUAAAAUCACGGAUUAAAAAAAAUAAUAUGAAUGAAUUACAGGCGCAACUGUUUCAUUAAGAAAUUAAUUAAAUCGUGUAUUAAUAUUUUGUACACAUACAUUUUUCCAUAUAUAACUUUUGGUAAUUUAGUUUUCCACUUAUCAUUUUACUCCAAAAAAAUAAUUGAGAAUAUUAUUUAUGUUUUGGUGCAAAAUAUUUAAACAACGUAUAAAUUUUCAGUUUAAUAAAUCUAAACAUUUCUCAAGUUGUAAAUGAAUUUAAUGGGUUUAGUUAGUAAAAAUGCUAUUAUUAUAUAAAUUGGGUUUAGUAAUGGUAUAUUGGGCAUUUAAAUGGGUUUGUUGAGUAAAUUUUAAAAUUUUAAAAUUUAAGGGUGGGUUUAUUUUAGUAAAUGGGUUAAGGCAGCAAUUUCCCAAACUAAAAUUUUUAGAAAAAGAGGCUAUUUAGUUUUUUUUUUUAAAAAGAAUUAAGAUGUUGAGAAUACCUUUAUUUACUUUUAUAAUCUUAUUUUAAAAAAUUUACCCAAUAAAUUUUAUAAUUUUUUACAAAAAUUAUCAUUAACAUCCAAACAGCUAAAGAUUAAAAAAAAAAAAAAAGAAGGGAACUGUACUAGCAAAAGUUAGAUUAACAAUAAAUUUAGUCCAAAGAAUAAAGUUAUAGCUAAAAAGUGCUCCUAUCCUAUUUUUCUCUAUUUUAACAAUAAUCUUCCAAUCCAUUUUACAAUGGACUUAACAAAUGGGCUCAAUCUCUAAACUUCAUUUUCUUUUGCUAACCCAUGGCCAUUAGCCAGAAAGCCUAAAACAAUUUUAGGAUCACAUGUGUAAAUGGAACUCCAAGAUUGAUCAAGAAUUAACAAGACAAGAUGAAGAGAUGAUCUUGUAACUAAGAAUGAAGAAAUUGAAUCAAGACAGUACUCUAGUAAAACCCAGAAAACAGAGCUUGAAGAAUCACGCACAAAGCAGUAAAUUUGUAAAACCAGAAUUGGAGCUUCACUUCUCAAGAUAGACGAAACAGGAUACAAUCUAGCUUUGGUCAACUUCGUUUGGCCACGUCAUAAAGUCUUCCCCCACAGUCUUUCCCGCCAAAACAGAAAAGCUUUAAAAGCCAUUUACCCUCCUGAGUUACUUGCUCCUAUUACAUCAAGGCCCUGUAAGUCUAUAUUUAUUAUUACAAAAGCACCCUUAAACCGAGAUUUGAGAUAUUUUUUCAAAGAUCGAAGCGCAUGAUUUCACGGCUAUGUUGCAUAGUGAAUUUUAGUGCUUUACAGUUAAGGGAUAGUUUAAAUUCAUUACAAAGCAUUCGCAAAGAAAUUGUUUUUAAAUGAAACUCCUCGUCUUGACCAGAUUAUUUAUUAUUAUUAAAAAAAAAUGUUCAAAACUUAGCCAAAGUGAUAAACUCGUAAUUAUUCUACAAAGGGAACAAUUUUGAACGGUGGGAAAUUCCAUAAUUAUGCUUUUCUGUGAAUUAUUUUAAAUAAAAUUAUAAAAAUUAAUAUAAAAUUAUAAUAAUGAUAGAGCCACAAAUUCUUGUACAAAUUUAUUUUAUACAAACUCAUGUGGCAUGAUAAGAUUGGUUGAAUUAAAUAUUACUUGGCCCACAUGAUUUGUUUUUAUUAUUUUAUAUUUUUAUUCAACCAAUAAAUUAAUACCACGUCAGUUUGUACAAAAUAAAUUUAUACAAAAAUUUGUGACUCGAUCAUCACUCAUAAAAUUAAUACCCGGUAAAGACUGUAGAGAGACAAGUGCCCCCAACAGAAUCAAGUGAAUAUGCCCCACAAAGAUCACAUGAUCAUUUCUGUUCUUUUUCUUUUUGAUAAUUUUAUCUGUGGUUUCAACUUUUAUGCUUUAUUGUCGUAUCCCGUUGAGGGCUCCGCUGCACCCAUUACAACUUACCCCUAAAUUGCCUCUUACUAACUAAACCGUUAGAUUUUAUGGAAGCACGUUCAAUGUUGAAUUUUAAUUAUGUCAUCGAAUUUCGUUUAGCUCCUUAAACUCCAUUUUAUUUGUAAUUUCUUCAUAAAAUAUUCAAAGCUUCAUCAAGCUCCUGAUGGACCAUCAUGGCUAGGGGUGCAUUAGAGCCGAACUGAAAUAUGUUAGUUCAGUUCAGUUUGGUCAGUUUAAAUCGAAUGGUUUAGAAUAUAUAAACUGAUCAAUUUUAAUUUUGAAUUGAACCGAACCGAAAAUCAAUUGGUUCACUAUUAGUAUUUUUGUAUAAACAAGAAUGAUUAGUGAUUAUAAUUAAAUUGGACUAAAAAAAAUUCAAACUAAGGUGAAAAAUAUCAAAUCUUAGACAAUAUAAAAAAAAAUAUUAAAUUUUUUUAACCGAAACGAACCGAAUUAUUUUGACUCAGUUUGGUUCAUAAUUUUUUAAACCAAACUGAUUUAUUCCCACCCCCUAAUCGUGGCUCUCUAUCUUUAGUCAUUCACCCUUGAGUUUGAUGCCAAUUGUUGGGUUUCAAAUGAUUAUACACUCAAAUGGAACCCUCAUAACAAAAAACUAACAGAAACAAUAAGAACACGAUGUUAAAAUCUUAAAUCAAUCGCAACGGUCCUUUUUUUUCCCCAUUCUUGAACCUAAAGUAUUUGAGUAUGCAAAUUAAUAAAUAAAUUCAUUUAUUUUUAUUAAAAUUUUGUAAAAUUAUAAUUUUUAAUAAAAAUAAUUAUUAAAAUUUUGUAAAAUCUAAAUUUAGAAAAAUUCAGUUGGGCACCUCUAUUUGAGAUUUAUUUUUUAUUAAAUUUAGGGAUAUUUUUAUAAUUAUAAUUUUUAAUUUUAAAAGUUUUUAUAAGAUAAAAUAGUCUUUUAAUUUAUUUAGGGGUAAAAUUGAUGUUUUAUUAAAAUUAUUUAAUUGUGUUAAUGCAAAAGUGACUAUUUGAUACAAAUGUGAAAAGAAAGGUGGUGCAAAAUAUAUGUUAAAAUUUUAUAUUGGUUGGAUGAACAUAAGCUAAAAUAAAGGUGGUGCAAUGAUAAUUUCCCUAUCCUAAAACUUAAUUGACUUAAUUCUUAUGGUGCAAGGAAGAGGUUUCCAAGUUUAAAUCUAAAGGCUUGUAUUUAAUUUGGGGUUGGGAAAGCACUGAGAAAUAAAUGUAACUAAGGAAAAAAAAAAAGUCAUGCAGUCCAAAUAAGUAGACAUAUUUAAUAUGAGGUGGGGAUGGGUGAACUGUAAUUCAGAAAAAAUAAAAUAAAAUUUCAUAUAAAGUUGAGGGUGUGUUUUAAUGGUUUCUUAUGCUGCGUUUACUUUUUGGACUAGAGUGAGAAUUCUGAGAAGUGGGAAUCCUGUGAUUAGGUGUGUGGAGUGGGAAUGAGAGUAGGGUAUUUACUUAGACUAAAUAAAAAUAUGGAUUGUCAAUCAGAAUCUCAAUUAUUUGUUACUUUGUCUUGGAUUGAGAGUAAAUUAUUUUAAAUUACAAUUUUAUCCUUAUGUAAAGAAUUAUAAUUUGUAAUUAAAAAAUUAAUAAAAAUAUAUUGGAAAAUAAAAUAAAUAUUUUAUUAUAUUUAUAAAAUAAUAAUAAUUAAUAAAAUUCUUAAUUAUGUAAAUCAUAAUUUUUUAUUAAUUUAAAUUUAAAUUAUGUGAAUAAAAAUUAUUAAUAAUAGCAACACAAAUGAAACAUUAUUAUUGAUAAUAUAGUAUAAAAUUAAUAUUUUUUUAGAAUAAAAUAUUUAUUAUUAUUAAAUAAAUAAAUAAUAUUUAUUAAAAUUAAUGUUUAAUAUUAUUAAUUUAAAUAUAAUAUUUAUUUAUUUUUAUUUUAUUUUAUUAAAUUUAAUAAAAUAAAUAUGUUAUAAUUAUUAUUUUUAAUAAAUAUGACAUUAUUUAUUUUAUUAAAUAUUAUUUAUUUAUUUUAAUUAUGAGGGUAAAAAUAAAAGAGGGGGAGUGGAUUCCCACUCCCACCUCCCCCCAUGGGAGUGGGAAUCCCACUCUCCCCUUAAAAAUGAUAAGUAAACACUAGAAUGGGAAGAAUCCACACUCUACACUUUCUAAAAAAUAAACACUACCUUAAUUUAAAUUGAUUUGUUGGAUAUUUAGCUAAAAUGAGAGUAGCUCUCUAAUAAUUAUUGCAUUAUUACAAACAUAUCCAACGGUUAUAUAUGCUUGCCUGUGGAAAUAAAAGUCCCAAGUUUCUUUGAAAGGUAAGCUAGUGUGAAUGUUUUCAUCCGUGCAACUUACUUGAUGAAUGAAGUUUUCAUCCCUGACCUUGAUGUUUCUGGUGGCUACAAUCAUUUCAGCUGAUCUAUUCCAUUUUGUUAAGGUGAGAAUUUAGAGUGGCUUUAACUGUUAGCAAAUAGCCUAAUGUAAGACUUGAUCAACUUCCUGCCCUGUUGUAUGCUUAUGAAUUUUGAUAGAGUUAUGAGUUUGCAGAAGCUACUGUAUUAUAUGUUGUUAGAGGCUGUAAAAAUGAGGCAGAUCAAACACACAUUUAAAUUUCAAUGACAAUUUACUAGAAGUAAAUUUCCUAUGACCCUCCAGGUGACUAAUCAAUGAGAACUUGACAAUAACAAAAGAAAGUGUAUGAGCUUUGCAGGCGGGCACGCCAAUCUUGACUGCAUGGCACCAUCCGCCAUUUGCAAGUGAAUAUCAUUAUUGUUUAAUCAACAUGGUGGAGUCCACUGGGACCACACCACAUGGUCAGUCUUAUCUCUAUUCCUCAAUUUUCAGUAUUCCAUACAUCAAAACAAUUUCAGUUUUGUUAUCAAUUAUAAUUUCAUUGUUGGAGACGAUUCUGAUUCCUUUCUUUCUGACAAAACGGAACCAUGGUUGCUGUGGGAGAGAUCUUACUCAACGCCUUCUUUCAGGUGUUGUUUGACAGGUUGGCUUCCCGUGAUUUGCUCAGCUUUGUCCGUCAACUUGGAGGCGGGGUCGAUUCCGAGCUCAAGAAGUGGGAAAGAAAGCUGAAGAUGAUUCAGGCGGUGCUCAACGAUGCAGAGGAGAAGCAACAGACUGACGAGGCUGUGAAGAUGUGGCUGGACGAUCUCCAAGACUUGGCUUAUGACACUGAGGACAUUCUUGAUGAGUUUGCUACUCAAGCCUUGGAAAGCAAGUUGAUGGCGCAAAAUCACGAUAGUUCUGGCCAGGUUCUCAGUUUCAUCCCGGCUGGUUUGAAUCCGAAUGCUAUUAUGUUCAAUUAUAGCAUGGGGUCCAAGAUUAAAGAUAUCACUAGCCGGCUGGAGCAACUCUGCCAAGAAAGAAUUGAACUUGGACUGCAACGGAUUACCGGAGAGGCAUCAUCAACUGCUGCUGCUGCUGCACACCAGAGGCCACCCAGUUCGAGUGUCCCAACAGAACGUGAAGUAUUUGGAAGAGAAGAAGAUAAGGCCAAAAUUCUUGAUAUGGUAUUGGCCGAUACCCCAAGUGAUCAUGCAAACUUUGUUGUAAUACCCAUUGUUGGCAUGGGCGGGAUAGGAAAAACAACUCUUGCCCGGGAAGUCUACAAUGACAAGGCCGUUGAAGAUUCCAAGUUUGAUGUAAAAGCAUGGGUUUGCGUAUCUGACGUCUUUGAUGUUUUGGGCAUCUCAAAGGCACUUCUCGAGUCAAUCACCCGCAGGCCUUGUCUUCUAAACAGUUUAAAUGACGUGCAGGUUGAGCUGAAAGCAGCUGUGGAUAAAAAAAGGUUCCUGCUGGUCUUAGAUGAUGUUUGGAACGAGGACUACAGCUUAUGGGUAGACUUAAAAGCUCCGUUACUGGUUGCUGCACCAAACAGCAAGAUGAUCGUCACCACACGCAAUUCAAGUGUUGCAUCAACAAUGAGACCCAUCGAUCGUCACCACACGCAAUUCAAGUAUUACGAUCUCAAGAGUCUGUUAGAUGAUGAUUGCUGGUCCAUUUUCAUAAACCAUGCAUUUGAAUCUACAGACCUUAGCGCACAUCGAAUUUCAGAAUCAUUCCGCGAGAAAGUUGUUGGCAAGUGUGGGGGCUUGCCUCUAGCAGCAAAAACACUCGGGGGCCUUCUUCGUACUAAAACGCAUGCUGAGUGGGACGGUAUAUUGGAUAGCAAAAUAUGGGAUUUACCUCGGCAAAGCAGCAUUCUCCCCGUGUUAAGAUUGAGUUACCAUCAUCUUCCUUCUCAUUUGAAAAGAUGUUUUGCUUUUUGUGCCAUCUUUCCAAAAGAUUAUGCAUUCACUGAGAGGGAGCUGACUUUCUUAUGGAUGGCUGGAGGUAUUAUUCGACAGUCAAGAAACAAUGAGCAGCUGGAAGAUUUGGGCAGCAAGUGCUUUGGUGAUCUAGUGUCGAGGUCAAUUUUUCAACAAACAGCAAUCUCUGAUAGUUCUAAAUUUGUAAUGCACGACCUUAUCCAUGAUCUUGCUCAAUUGGUCUCUGGAGAAACCAUAUUUAGGUUAGAGGAGGCCAAUACUCUGUCAAGAAGAUUUGAAAGGGUUCGCCAUUCCUCCUAUGCCCGUGAUUGGUGUGAUGGUAGAAAUAAGUUGGAGGUUUUCAAUGAAAUUGAACAUCUACGAACAUUCUUGCCAUUUUGCAUAAGAGGUGGCGUUACUUCUGGUUGGAUAACUAGCACGGUUCACUACGAUUUGUUGCCGAAGUUCAAAAGGUUGAGGAUGCUGUCUUUAGAAGGAUACCAUAUUGGUGAGUUACCAAUUCCAUUUGAAGAUUUGAGACUUUUAAGGUUCCUCAACCUUGCUGACACUGACAUAAGAAGUUUACCUGAGUCAACAUGCAAAUUGUUGAACUUGGAAAUUCUGAUAUUAAGAAAUUGUUCCCGUUUGACAAAGCUUCCCCAGAAAAUGAGGAAUUUGAUCAAUUUACGUCAUCUGGAUAUAAGAGGUGCAAAGCAGCUGAAGGAGAUGCCAUUUGGAAUGAAAGAGUUGAAGAAGCUUCAAACGUUGUCCAAUUUUAUUGUAGGCAAGGGUGAAUCUGCAUCUGGUUUGGAAGAUUUAAAAAGUUUAGACCUUCUAUGUGAUGAACUCUGCAUUGCUGGAUUAGAGAAUGUGAAUAGUCCACAGAAUGCAAGAGAAGCCACAUUAUGUGAGAAGCACAAUCUUGAAGCAUUGACCCUAGAAUGGGGGUCUCAAUCUGACAGUCCUCGGGAUGCAGUACUAGAAGAGAAGGUACUUGACACUCUACAGCCUCAUGAACGUAUAAAAGAGCUGGCAAUCAGGAACUAUGGUGGUGCAAGAUUUCCACCUUGGAUCAGAGAUCCUUCGUUUCCCGAGAUGAAGGUCCUUAAAUUGGAGAACUGUGACGAUUGUGAAUAUCUGCCAUCACUUGGCCUGUUGAGUUCACUUAAGCACCUUGCUGUUAAAGGGCUGAAGAAACUAAAAAGCAUAGGGUCUGAGGUUUAUGGGGAGGGUUUGUCAAUGCCUUUUCCAUCAUUGGAGGUUCUAAGUUUUGAGAAUUUGCCUGAAUGGGAGUAUUGGGACACCAAUAUCAGAGGAAAUGUGCUCGUUGAAAUGUUUCCUCGUCUCCAUAAACUUUCCAUUGUGGAAUGUCCCAAACUCUCUGGGGAACUGCCUGAGCUCCUGCCCUCCUUGGAGACACUUGUUGUUAGUAAAUGUGAAAAGUUGGUAGUUCCAUUGUCUCGCUAUCCGAUGCUCUGCAGAUUAGAAGUUGAUGAGUGCAAGGAACUAGCAUGCGGGACUCCAAUUGAUUUUAAGUUGAUAGAGUCUGUGACUAUUUCAAAUAGUUCCUUAGACAUGAAUGGAUGCAAGGGGAUGCUAUACGAUGGUCCAGCUGGCUCUUCACUGCCAAAGCCUAUGAUUACUACAAAUGUUUCGGAGUUUGGAAAAUUAUUGAAGCCUGGAUGUCAAAUAUUAGAAACUUUAGUAAUUGGCAAUUCUGGACGGCUCAAGUCAUGGAGGCAGCAUGGGGAUUUUCUAGAAGAAUAUAUGGUCGCUCACCAAAGGUUUAAGAAACCAGUACAAGGGCUAAAUAUGCUCGCUUCCCCUGAAGAGGUAACAAUUGAAGAAAGUUGUGUGAGUUUUGUUUUGUUUCCAGAGAUCAAUUUCUUUCCCAGAAAUCUGCGCUCUCUUCUAAUUUGCAACAGCACUGCUUUGAAAUCCUUACCCGAGGAAAUGAUGGAAAACAAUUCACAACUGGAAAGGUUGUAUAUCAGAGAUUGCGACUCUCUAACAUUCAUCGCAAGACAGAGGCUACCAGCAUCUGUUAAAAGGCUUGAGAUAGAAAAUUGUGAGAAAUUGCAACGUCUGUUCGAUGAUGAAGAGGAUGCUUCUUCUUCUUCUUCUUCUCCUUCAUCCUCGUCUUCCCCAGUGAUGCUGCAACACCUGAUAAUAGGGAAAUGCCCAAAGCUCACCAGUUUAUUAUCGGGUGUCCAAUUCCUUGAGGCGCUUGAAUUCCUCAAGAUAGAGCAUUGUCCAAAGCUGGAGUCAAUACCGGAUGGCCUGCCCAAUCUUAAAUGUUUACAGAGCAUUUAUUUACUCAAUUGUCCAAGUCUUGUUUCCUUCCCAGAAAGAGGGCUUCCCCACACCAUUUCAUUUGUUUGCAUUUGCGGAUGUGACAAGCUUGAAGCCCUGCCCAAUGACAUGCACAAACUCAACUCUCUUCGACAUUUAAGCAUACAGCUCUGUCCAAAUCUUGUAUCGUUUCCAGAAGAAGGUUUUCCUACCAAUCUAACAUCACUUACAAUUGGAGAUUUCAAAAUGUAUAAGAUACUCGUCCAGUGGGGGUUGCACAGGUUUACCUCUCUUAGACGCCUCUAUAUCGUUGAUUGUGAUGACGAAGCAGAGUAUUUUCCAGACGAGGAUAUAGGAAUGACGCUGCCCACCUCUCUCACUCAACUGGAACUUUCGGGAUUCAAAAAAUUGAUAUCUCUGUCUUCGACGGGUUUUCAGAGCCUCACCUCUCUUCAAAGAUUGCGGAUCUGGGAUUGCCCAAAUCUCACAUCAUUUCCAGAGGUGGGCCUUCCAUCCUCACUUUUGGAAUUACACAUUUACAAAUGUCCAAAGCUUAAAAAAGCGUGCAAAAGAGAUCAAGGAAAAGAGUGGCCCAAAAUUGCUGACAUCCCUUGCGUUGAGAUAGACAAUAAAUUCAUAUACGAUCCAGAAUAAGAGGAGUAGAUUCUACUAUUAAGGUCAGUUGAUUUGUAUUAUCCGCUAUAACAAGCUCCUCCUUUUUUUUUUUUAAAUAAUAAUUUUGCAGUCACUCACGUGAUUCCGUUUUCACAAGUCAGAUUGUAUGUUGAGGCUAUUUGCCUUUUAGUCGCAGAUUAAAUUAUAACACUUAUCUUAAAAUUUAAUACCAUAGACAGAUAGACGAUUUUUUAAUCCAAAGUUUUUUUUAUUCACUUCAGUUAGCAUUUUUUUUUUUCCCCAAAUCAUGCAAGCCGAGAGUUUCAAUCAAGAAUUGGAGCAUGGGAAUGGAAUUUUUGUGAAAACAUAAUGGAUGAACGAACAUUUCAUCUGUGAUCUCAAAGUCAACAGAAUUUUAUUCACUCAAUGACUUUUCAACUGCUGUGGUUAUUUAUGGGUGAAAGAAAGAUAAGGGCAAUUACAAAAAAUUUGCAAAAUUUGUCAAUUUCUUAGAUGGUAGAUAUAUCGACAUUUUAGAUUUCAGAUAUUUGUCACCAAUUUCAUUCCUUUUUUUUUAUUUUUUCAAGCAAGUUUGACUAAUUUUAACCAGAAUUGGAGUAUAAUAUUUUGGAGCAAGCAUACUUGAAAUUUCUGUCUUCAAUAUUUUGAUGCUUUUUUAAUUUUGGAUCUAGUAAAAAUACAUAGCCUUCACCGGCAGGAUUCUAGUCUUGGCUUUCACCUCUCUAACUCAUCCGGCCCCAUUGGGAUUCCAGAAAUUGAAAUUUCUGUCUUCAAGGGGUUUUCAAAGCCUCGCCUCCCUUCGAUUUUUGUGGAUCGGGAAUUGCACAAAUCUUACAUCAUUUCCCGAGGUCGAGGAAAAGAGCGGCCCAAACUUGCUCGCAUCCCUUGGGUUAUGAUAGAUGGAAAAUUCAUAUACGAUCCAGAGUCAGAGGUGUUGAUUCUCUUAUUAAGGUCAGCUGAUUUCUAUUAUCCACUCUGACAAUCUCCUAUUAGUGUUUUUCCCUUUUUUUUUUUCAAAAUUUUGCAGUUCCGUAUAAUUGAAAAUGCCACUCACUUGUUUCCUAUUAGUAUGUUGAGGCUAUUUGCUUUCUAUCGGUGUUUGUUAAGGUAAUUACUCACAGAUGAAAUUAUAACUUUUAUCUUAAAAUUUAUUGCCAUUGACAGAUGGACGAUUUUUAGUCCAAAGUUUUGUUAUUAACUUCAAUCAAAAUUUUAGAUUGCAGAUUUUUGUCAAUUAUUUCAUUUUUUAUUUUUAUUUUAAAGCAGAAUUGGAGUAUAACAUUUGGAGCGCGCAUACUCUGAUGCAUGCAAUUAACUGUUUUUAAUCGUUGGAUUUUGAAAUUAAUGAUGGUAAGAUGUGUACUUAUUUUUUCUUCCGGACAACCUUGCCUUCUUUCUUCGGUAGCAUAUCUAAUGAAUAUUUCUCUGUUUAGUUAAGGAUGAAUGCUUGGAGUGGUCUGAUUCACAACAACACCUCUUCCAGAAAAUAUGAUACAAGGCAAAGCCAUGUUCUGAAGCAGAAAUGAUACAGCAGUUGCGGUACCCGAGGUACCUUUUGCAUUUAACUUGCCUUUAUUUGUUUUGCUUGUGACUUAAGAACACAUCAUUUCCCAGAGAUUUGGAGAAGCAUCUCAAGAUGCUUAACAAACUUGACAAGCUUCAAGAUGCACUUGCUCCCAAGCAUUGAUUCUUCACAAUGGAAAACCUGUGAGUACACUUAUGCCCGCAAUUAUUGUUAAGUGUUUGCAAUUUUGAUGCAGCGAAAUGGUUUGUGGAUGCAAAGCUUUAAAACUGUUAAGAACUACCCUGCAGGCUUGUUGGAUGUUGUAUACUUCAAAAGCCACCAACACCAAGAACUACAACAGCAAGACUAGGUUUGCGUUGCUUCAAUCAGCUGAAAUAAUGAUGCAAAUGACACUAUCAAGCUGGACUUAGAGACUUGUCAGGUCAAUCAUCCAUUUCAUCAACAGUUAAUGUCAUGAUGGUGGCUAUCAGAGGAAACAAAAGAUCUGUUGGAAUCAAUUCAAACAGUGAGAAGCAUGAGAGGAGCAUUGAUUAUAAAUAGGCUCAAUGAGCUCAUGCUGGUAAGUGGUAAUUAAGAAAUUUGUGAGCUUAGUAUAGUUUCAAUUUUUUUCUGUUUGGGAUAUAGUUGAUAAGUUGAUACUCUGAUUAAGAAGCCUGAUUAUAGUAGCUGACUGUGCUAACUGCGUUCUUUUAUUUUUUAUUUUUUUGGUUUGCCGUCGUUUUUUCUUUUGAUUAUUUGUUCAACAUUAGAUUGAUCUGUUGAAGACUACGAGGAAGAUCCAGACUUGGAUGCAGGCGUGCAGCUCGUAAUAGGUGAGAACAAAUGAAUGCUUUAACCAUGUUUCUCACUUAUGACAAUGCACGGAUCAAAGGCAUCUGAGUUGAUCCUGAAAAUGUGAUGGAAAUAGGUCUCUGUUUUCAUAAAACAGAACAAAUAGAGAUCUCUGAUCACGCCUGAGAAUUCAUUGCAUUGAAAUUUCUACCAUUGGCAAACAUAGAAUAAACUGGGGAUACAUUAGCUUUAGACUCUAUUUUGAGGAGGAAGUUUGUACUUGCAGCCUAUAAAAUCAUAUCCCUGUUGUAUGUUUCUUUGGGAAAUGAAAGAUUCUGUGUGUUCUUUUAUUUCAAGUUUGCUGAAAUCACAUUUGUUUUCUAAGAUGCUUUACAGAAGGUACCAACAUCAUUUUCAAAAAUGCUGGGGUAAGAUACAUCGUGCAGUGCUCCUCAACAUGAGAAUUCCUGGCCGCAUUACCCAUAUGUGGAAUGAUCUGAGAGUACAACCGUGAGAAUGUUGUAAGGAGUACACAACCAGAUGUGAGUAGUUUGAAAAUGAAUUCGCAUGGAAUGAUUUCUUGCCAGUGCAGAAAUGGCUUGGUUCAAAAUAUGCUCAGCUUCAUUGACACUCUUCGGUAGGCCUCUCCGUCCUUCCAUUCUUAACUACAAUACUACUCUUGUCUGUCUAGUUAUGGAAUCUCUCUUUUAAUCCUCAAAGUUUGAAUUAUAUUAUAUUGCCUCUGUGUUACCGCAGAAACUGAGUCAGUUGGUGAUCCUUCAAAACAAGAAAAACCAAAAACAGAUACAGCGCGCGAUAAGAUAAUGAGACAGAUGGCUCCCGUUGCUGCAUGCCACUUGCUUGUGUGCGUAUUGGGACCAUCAUCAACAACAUUGACGUAAACCCAGCUCAAGGUGGGAAGCUAGUUCGAGCUGCAGGGACGUUAACCAAGAUUUUGAGAAAGAACCCACUUCAAGGUGUUGCUUAGUUAGGCUACGUUGUGGAAAUGAGAAAGUGAUUGACCCUAGAUGUCGCGCCACCAUUGGUACAGUGUCUAACCCCAGCCAUGGAGCUAAAAAGCUUAGUAAGGCAGGUCAGAGAAGUUGGUUGGGUCGAAGAGCUGUGGUUAGAGGAGUAGCCAUGAUUCCAGUUGAUCACCCUCAUGUUGAACAAAGCAAAAGUAGCGGUAACAAUGGAAGGUGUUCACUCACACCUUGGGGCAAGCCUUGUAAGUCUGGGAAUUAAACUGCAUCUCCUAAGAAGAAAGAGAAAUCAGCUGUCUGAUAAUAUUGUCCUUUUCUGCUAUUUGGUCUUUUUAACAUUGUUACACUGUUUUUACAUCUUUGAGGUUAGUUUUAGACCAAUUUUUAACUGAUCCAUAAUGAAACUGAAGUUUAAUUUUUGAUUAAACUUUCACUGGUUUUACUCUUCUGUCACUUCAAUUUAGCAUUGAUUUAAGAUACUGAAUUCUGUGCUUGGAGCUUGUAAAUUGGAAAGAGAUAUUUUGGGAUAGAAUGUAGAUUUUGUGUUUUGCUUUCUCAAGCUAGUUGUGACUUCUUAAAAGAGUCAAUCCAUGUCUUUAUAUAUUUUUCUUUUGUCUUGAUUCUGUUUCUUCAUACAGAUUCUUAUUUUAUGCUUCACAUACCACAUGAAAGAUGAAAGCCUUUUCUGUGAUUAGAAUUGACUUGCAUUAUAGUAACUUUAAACCACUUGGAUAUUUUUAUAAUAGCAGUCUGAGAUCUCCUUAAAGGAUUCAAAAGCAUCCACUGGCAUCCACUUUACUCGUAUCGGUCAAAAGUUUUGUGCAAUACAAUAUUAGCUUGACUGUAGCGCAGAGGAGAACAGGUUGGUGUUGGUCUGAAUUCUGAUAUUUGAAUAAAUAUAACAGCUCAUGUGACUCCACCACUUUUUACUUGUUCUGUAGUCUGUACCUACCUCCAUUGUCGGCACUGCCCAUACAAGGUCUUUUAGCUUUUUAAAAAGUUUCAUGAUAUUCCAUAGUUCACAUGGAUUUCUACAGUUUGUAGAAAACCUAAUUAGGGCACAUUUAAUUACUAUGCAGAAGAUUCUUUUAUCUUGCUCACCAAUAAUUCUUUGUACUUAUUUGAAAGAUGUGUUUCAAAAAAAUAAAAAAAAACUAUUUGAAAGAUGAGAAAUCCCUUAGCCGAACGACAAACUCAUCUAUCAGUCCUAUCAAAAAAAAAAAAACUCAUGUUUUAGUGGUUUUUUUUUUUCACUUGUAUUCAGUCGCACAAGUGAAGAUUGUGGGCAAUUUUUUCCUUGAGUAAAAUUGGAAUAGAUGUUUUUAUUGACACAAAUUUUUGAGCUAUGUUUGGGAAACCCUUAGACUUAAGACUUUGUUACGAUGAUAUGUAUCUAAGCUUUCAACAGACCGUUGAGGUCUUAUUAUCAAAAUACUAGAAAUUUACAAUUCAAUUUUGGUAAGGACCAAUUUAAUAAUGCUGUAAUUUUUAAAAUAAUUACCGUUAACUGUGUUGUAAAAAUAAUCAAUUAUGAAGAAAAUUAAUUAAACAUUUAGUAAACUUUAUUUUUACAAGUGCUUUGAAUUUUAAAAAUAGUCAUAUGUGUUCAGAAAAUCUCACUUCUAAAAUAGUAUAAGAAUGGAAAAAACUUAAAAAGACAAAUGUAUAAUAUUUAUUUACACAUGCAUUUAUAAAUAUGUGUAUAUAAUAACAUUUUAUGUGUACAUAUAAUAAUUGAUAACUAAAAUAAAUAUUUUUAUUUAUUAAUUAUUUUUUUGUCUCAAUGUAAUUGGUAAUACUUUUUUUUAAUCUUCUCAUCCUAAGUUUUUUUAUUGUUUUGUACAAAAUUCAAGGUUUGGACUUUUAUAAAAUGUCCACUCAAAAAUAAAUUGUUUUCUAACUAAGAUUUGUUGCUAAUGUAUAACUCAAAGUAAUACUAGCUAUUUGUAAUUUUAUUUCAAAAUUUUUAUUCAAAUGAUAUGGUAACUAAUGUACAUUAGUUGAUAGCAAUUUUUUUUUUUUUACAAUAUUCAAAUCAAUCAAUUGCAUCAUCUCAACAUUUUUAUGAUGUCGUGUUAUUUUAAACGAAUUUUUUAUUUUUAUAUAAAAUUUAUUAUGUUUAACAUCAUUUGCAUAACUUGACCUUUUUUUUUUCCUACAAAUAUUAAGUCAAAUUUACUCACCCUAUAUUUCUAUCUAAAAUCUACCUAAAACUCAUGCAUCACUGUAAAACAAAUCCAAAGAUUGCGGUACGUUUUUCUUGGUAACAAAUCAAUAAUUAGGUCAAGUACUACUACUAAGCGUGCUCAAUUAAUUCUAAAAUACUACGGUGAUCAAAAUCAUACUUGACGCAAGAGGAUAAGGGCUAAACCUCAAUUAGGCAUUAUUCAUCCAAAAUUCGUUGACCCGGCAUUCUUUGCAAGUUGUAGCACGGGACAGCUAAGAUUAGCAAAUGCUGUGGACCAUAUGCCCCCAUACAUUUGUGACAUGUGAAACUUGGCAUUAAAGGAAAGGCAACGUGUUAAAAUUUAAUAGCGCCCAAUUCUUCAUUGAAUGAUUAUCAGAUCCAAUGAGCAUCCUUUGAUUGGAUUAUUUUAAGUCAAUUAUUGGUGGAUUGGGGCCCACUUGACUCUACCAAAUCGGGCUCCACCAUAUCACCUAUUAACGACCACCUGUCCUUAUCAUAAAUAGCAAAUGUCACUUGUUUUAUUUUGUAUUUUACCAAAAGCAAAGUCACUAUGAACCCAAAUGAAAGUGACCCCAAUUUUGGGGGUCAUGAGCUUUGGAUUAUUAUGGACACAAGAGACAAGCGCAAAGUUUCUCAUUUAUCACCGGAUAAGAUUUAAGUUAUCAACCCAACAUUAAUAAAUUCUGCUUAAAGUAAAGUUUGAAGCUUCAUUUUGCGAAUAUUCAAUGGUUAACAUUUAAGUAAUUAACCUGAUAUUAAUCCAAUUAAACUUUUUAUGUAAUCCAAGUCAAAAAUAUGUUGAUAAACCUAAAUUAAUCUAAUUGGACAUAUUAUUUCAACUUGAAAAGGCGAAUCUAUCAUUUUUCAAUUAAUUUUGAAUCAAGCUAUGUAAAAUAUAAGCUUAUUAAAGACAUAUUUUUAUCAUGUUAAAAUAUCGAAAUACUUCUUACUCGUUUCGUAAUAACAUUAACAAACCUUUUGGUAAAUUUGACAGUCCAAUCAAUUCAGUUGGUUUUUUGUUAUUGAAACUCCAACAAAAUUCAUCACGAUUAUUAAAAACCCAUUAAAAAAAAAUGAAGGUAACUAUUUAAAAAAUUCUAAUUGAAUUAUUUAACAACUACAUUUCAACUAAAUUGUGUUGCUAAUUAACUUCCUCAACUUAAACUAUAUUUUUCUCAAUUAAUUCAUAACAAAUAAUGUUAGAUAUUUUAUUCGAAUAAUAACAUUCAACAUCCUUAUUCUUUAUGAUUAUUGCAUAAAAACAUAUUUUAUCCAUUUACAUCACAUAUGUUCCUAAAUUGUAUAAGAAAAUCACCAAAUUUACUCUUGUAAGUUACUAUAUCAAUGAACAUGAAAUUCACUAAUCAUUAAAGUCUCGGAAUGACAUCAUGAGAGGGAUUCAGUUACAUUUAUUGAUAGGAUUAGAUAUAUGUCUUCUCAAAUAUUAGUAGGAGCAAUUUAACAGAUGCAGCUACUAAAAAUAUAGAAUUACUUAUCUCGUCAAUAACUAACGAUAUUUUUUAUCUAUGCUCAAUAAAUUGUAAUAUUUGUAGAUUGUAACAAUUGUUAAAAAAAAAGAGCUCCCUGAGACUAAAUGACAAAAGGACUGUUUUGAAAUAGAUAGAUAAAAUAUGCCCUUAUUUGAGAAAAUGUAAAACACUAGGGAUCUAAAUGUUAUUAUAAUCCCAUGCACAAAAAUACCAAAAAUAACUAAUAACAACUAACCGAAAAUCCCAGGCGUCAUAUUCCUUUUUUCCGCGUUUUAAAAUGCCCUCUGAUUCAUUCACAGUCAGACGCUGUCGGCAUUUCUCUUCUCUCCCUCUCUCUCCACGUAUUAAAACAUGUAAAGUACGGAAAAAUUUAAAAAAAAUUUUAAAAUUACAUAAUUUAAAAGAUAUAAAAUUAUAAAUUUUUAAAAUUAUACGGUUUUAAAAUUUUUUUAAAUUUUUUCGUAUUUUAAAAUUUCAGACUAAAAAAUUAUUAUACGAAUACUUCGUAUAACCGCUUUGCGCUUAAAAUCUGUGCCUAACAAACUCACGAAAUCACUCCUCAUUUUCCUCUCUCCCUCUCCUCCUCUCAUUCCCUUUCAAAUCCUUCCACCACCUUCCCCGCCUCUCUCUCUUUCUCUCUCCCCUCACCGCCACAGCUCAACUUUUCCAUGUAAACCACCACGGGCGCCGUCGUUUCAACCUCCCACUCAUCCGACGUCGUUUUGUGUGAAUAAGAUAACGAUUUAAAUUAAAAUACGAAAAUGGAGAACUUAACGGCGCAGUUGAAGCGAGGGAUAUCGCGGCAGUUCUCGACGGGAUCGCUGCGGCGGAGCCUGACGAGGCAGAUGUCGAGGCAGUCGUCGUUCGAUCCGAGGAGGAAUAACAUGAGGUUUAGCUUCGGGAGGCAGUCGUCGUUGGAUCCGAUACGCAGGAGUCCGGUUCAGGACGAGUUGACGGUGCCGGAGAACCUUGACUCGACGAUGCAGCUGUUGUUUAUGGCAUGCAGAGGUGACGUCAAGGGAGUCGAGGAUUUGCUGAACGAAGGCAGUGAUGUCAACAGCAUUGAUCUUGACGGACGGUUUUGGCGAGAAAUCAAAGAAUUAAGAGACAAUAUUUAGUUAAGCUAAUAGUAUUUGUUCUGUUUAGUACGUCGUUUUACCAACAAGCAUCCCGGCAUUGCACGCAUUAAUAAAUUUUUUUUAUCUGUUUGGACUGAUGGUGGUAAAAAAUUCCACAUACUUUAUAUUAAAAAGGAAAAAGGACAAACACACCCCUAACGUCAACUUGGAGGGGGGUCGAUUCCGAGCUCAAGAAGUGGGAAAGAAGAAAGCUGAAGAUGAUUCAGGCGGUGCUCAAUGGUGGGUAUGACGGCAAAAAUAAGUUGGAGGUUUUCUAUGAAUUUGAACAUCUAAGAACAUUCUUCCCAUUACACAUAAGAGGUGGCUCCAAAACUGGUUACAUAACUCGUAUGGUUCUAACUGAUUUGUUGCCGAAGUUUAAAAGGUUGAGGGUGCUAUCUUUACAAGGAUACCAUAUUGGACCAAUUCCAUUUGAAGAUUUGAGACUUCAAAGUAUAAUUACCCAAAGUGUAUACAAUAAAAGCCAAAUUUAAGAAAUUCCUGAACCUUGCUGACACUGACAUAAGAAGUUUACCAGAGUCAACAUGCUCAAUGUUGAACUUGGAAAUUUUGAUAUUAAGAAAUUGUUUCCGUUUGAUGAUACUCCCACCCAAAAUGAGGAACUUGGUUAAUUUACACCCAGACUCUUUUCUUUUGACAUGGGGUUAACGAUCAAAGUUGGUUUCGUGCGGUAUAUAUUUACAAAUUGAUAGGUAUGCCUGGUGUUGAUGCAGGAUUCCGGUUCUUCUCGUUCUACGACCAGGAUCUCUGCUCGAUCAACUUCGUCACGACCAGGAGGUCUCCUCGCAAGACUUUUUCUCCAGAGAUUCCUGCGCACACAGACAAGUCAGAGUACGCCGGUUGUUUUCCCGGCGCAAACCCUCCGACGCUCAAGUCAGAUAUGAAGGUUCGGGGAACGCUUGCCACCGAUCUUAUGGCUUUUUCGUGGUUUUCUCUUCUUUUUAAUUCCUUUUCUAAUGAGAAAAAUGCCAACCCUUUUACCUCGUCGGCUACCUUUUUAUAGGCUUCCUCUGAAUCCCAGUUUUCCGCUCUUUUCGAGACGGUAUGGGACUCUGACUGCUGUGUUAUGGGCAAACGUGGGAUCUUGCGUGUUACGCCACCGUUCUGGGAAAAGCGCGGCAGUCGUGGUUCUGUGAGAUCUUGCGUGUUACGCCACGGUUCUGGGGAAAGCGUGGCUGUCGUGCUUAGGUUCUCGGGCUGGAGAGCAUGUCUCGUCAACUGCCGUCGACCGGGUCUCCUCGCCUCUCGACCUCUAGCCGGAAUGACCUUAUGCCUCUUACAGGAAAUUGGCCUCGCGGAUGACCUGCUCGUGGACGAGCAGGAUAUUUCUGCUCCUGUUCCCCCGCGUACCAGGCUUUUACGGGACACACCGGUUCGCAGAACUCUGCCAUCAGAUAUCUGCUCACCGUGCCUGGUCUCGUCGACGUAUUUCUCCCAAACACCGGUCCCCCAGUUUCUGGUGUUGGGUAAUGUAGUGGACCAGCAGUAGAAACUCGUUAGUACUCGCCCGCGUGGGAUUGGAAAAGGCUGCCAAGAGUCAUGUCGCAUUUAAUUGCGGACGAGGUGACGUGGCAGAAAUCCCCCCCUCCAUUUGAAUUUCAAACCGACGGUUAUGAGAUCCUCGGGAUUCAGCGCCGUUAAAUGCUGGCAACCCAAGAGUCCGUCCUCAUUAGGAAAACCAAAUCCUCUCGAACGGCAUAUUCGUCAUUCACUCCGUCUCCGUCUCUGUCUCCCCGGCAAAGAGGUUCCGGCAUAAAAGCCCUCCAUCUCUGAUUUUCACCGACUGAACCGUUACUUCAGGUAUUUCUUCUAUCUCCUUGGUCUCGGAUAGUUGUAGAUAAUUUCUCUUCUCUUCUGUUGGGUAGUAGUUGGUGGUGUUGUGGUUAGAGCUUAGGGAAUGUCGAAAGGCAAAGAGAAGGUCAUUGAGGUUGGUGACGACGAGUUGGACUUCCUGCCUAGUCUGCUCACCGAUCCUGCUUUUGACCCCGGGAUCCCCUUAGAGCCCAUUAGGUCUAGUGUCGGGACUAGUGCUAGGAGGAUGUCUCCCCAAACAACCUCUACGAGCGGAAGUAAUGGUGAGGAGAGAUCUUCUGGCUCCGAGGAUACUUUGAGUGAGAAUGGCGAAGGUGACUCUGGUGAGGUGUCUCCAUCUGGAACAUCACGACCAGAAGAACGGGGUAUAGUAGGAGGCAGAGCCUUGUCGCGCGAUUAUGCCAUUGAUUACAUGACGUGCACGACCUCGUUUGACGAGCUCAAUGACCUCCGGCUUAGGUAUAGCAUUCCUGGUGAGAUACCUCUCAAGGUCCCAGGAAAGAAGGAUGCUCCCAGCCGGCCUCCUAGGGGAUAUGUUACCCUGUAUCUGGACAGCUUUAAGUACGGGCUGAGGUGUCCCUUGCAACCUUACUUUGCCCGGAUACUUAACGGGCUAAAUCUAGCUCCUGGUCAGCUGAAUCCCAAUGGGUGGAGAGUGCUCUCUGGUCUGUUCAUAUUGUGGGACAGAUGUUGCCAAAGCGAGCCCACGGUUGAUGAGGUGAAGCACCUGUACCAGCUAAAGAGCAGCCCCAAAGAUGCCGUCUGGUACUACUUCCAAUCUAGCACCAAGAGCAGGAAACCUAUAACCGACCUCCCUACUGGUGGUGGUGGGAAUUGGAAGAGAAAAUUCUUUUUUGCUGGGGGUCCUUGGGGUCAGGUUGCACAAAUGGACGGGAAGGAUUAUCGGGUCCCACCCCGUUUCACGGUCCCAGGUUGCCUGCUCGCUUUAGAUGUCUUGUAUCCACAAUUGUUAUUGCUUUAUUGGCUUGUCUCUAACCAAGUGUCUGUUUGCGUUGUAGUUUCUUGGGGUGUUCACUUCCCGCUCCCACCUGACCAGCUCAAACGGGUCAAGGCUGUGCUCGCCAAUUCCUGCUCGAGUCGAGAACUGCUAACUACAUACAACUUGCUCGAAUCUCGCUUGAUACUUCCUGGCCAUAGGAUGGAGGACGCCGUGAUUGGGGCUCUGACCCGAAAACGUUCUCGACCUCCAACCACGAAGAGGGACCAGGGUAAGGAUGCCCCUGCUGCAAAGCGGGCCAGCAUCGUGCAGCAGGUCCCACCCUUGGAGAUUUUACCUCCUGCUCCUGAAAAAGUCGGGGAAGCUAGUGGAGCAGCCACAGAUCCUGCUUCCUCAUCUGUUCCUGUCGGGCCUCGAUCUCGCUUACCUGACAGCCGAGCAGAACACCUGGUCCCCUACCUCAAUGAGUUGUCUAAACUCGUGAGCAAGAAGGACCUGGAGGACUUCGACGGCUGCACCUUGGGUGAGCUGGUGGGGGCCAUGCAGCAUAGCGCUUUCCACCUCAGCUGCAUGACCACCUAUUACAAGGCUAAGGUUGGUCGAUACGAUCGGAAAAUGAAGGGGGAUAUUCAAUCGGCGACGACCAGAGCUGACAUUGCCGAGAAGAAAGCAGGGGAGCUGAACCUCGAGAAUCUGAAGCUGAUAGAGCAAGAAUCACUUGCUCAAGCAAAGACCAUUACCCUCGAGGAGGAGCUUACCAAGGUCAAGGAGGAUCUGCAAAGGCAGAAGGCUAUGUAUGAGGCCCAGCUCGAAUCUCUCCGGGACUCCAACCGAGCUCAGGUCGAGAACUUGGAGAGGGAGGCAGAGAAUCAGUACGACCAGGGACUUCGGCAUUCCUAUCGUUGCAUCAUGGCCGUCCUCGGGAAGCAACACCCUGAUCUGAAGAUGGAUGACCUUGCGGCUGGUGUUGCCCAACAUAUGGACGAGGAGGCGGCCAAGGAAGAUGCUGAAGGGGUAGAGCCGAUCGUGAUCGAGGAGGAAAGCUCUCCUCCUCGUGCAGUCCCUGCUGAUGUUGGCGAGGCGAGCACCCCUCCGGACGCAACUGGCGAUACCCCUCCCGCACCUGAGGAGGUCCAGUCAACCGAUGCUGCUCGGCUCACUGAUCUACCAUCUUUUUGAUAUAUUUCUUUUUGUAUUGUAAUAAACAACGUUUAUGAAAUUUAUCCCCUCUGUUAGCCAUUAACACAUUAAUAAAGAUGUUUUUUGAUUACUUUCUCGUCUUGUAAUCAUCACUUAUUUUCCGUUUGGGAAUCUGCUCGUCUCGUCUGGUCGAGCAGGUUCUGGUUUGGCAUAUGGUUUUGCAACAUGCCUUAGAAAAAUUUCUUUUUUUUUUUUUUUUUUUUUUUUUUUUUUUUUUUUUGCUUGGGGAUUCUGCUUGCCUUCGCGUGGUCGAGCAGGUCCUGGCAUGCUUGGCUUCAGUCUCGCCAUAAAAAGGCUUUGAGACUUGGUGAGGCCUUUGCAUGCCUUAGAAAACUUUUUCGAUGCUUGGGGAUUCUGCUCGACUUCGCUCGGUCGAGCAGACCCUAGCAUGCUUGGCUUCCGUCUCGCCAUAAAAAGGCUUUGAGACUUAGUGAGCCUUUGCAUGCCUUAGGUGGCUUCUUCAAAGCUUGGGAUUCUGCUGCCUUCUCGUGGCCGAGCAGAUCCGGGCAUGCUUGGCUUCUGUCUCGCCAUAAGACAGGCUUUGAGACUCGACGAGCCUUUGCAUGCCUUAGAUGGCUUCUUCGAAGCUUGGGAUUCUGCUGCCUUCUCGUGGCCGAGCAGAUCCGGGCAUGCUUGGCUUCUGUCUCGCCAUAAGACAGGCUUUGAGACUUGACGAGCCUUUGCAUGCCUUAGAAAUUUUCUUGGUUUCAAGCGAAAGGAAUUCCUCGACGUUCCAUUAAUGGCAGGAUUCGGCUUACAUGAACUUGUUUGGACAUAAAGCGUGAAAGAUAAACGAUAAUGAUCAUGAGCAAAAAUAGCUUUCAGAUGUGAACAAAUCUUACUGGAAGUAUUUUCGGAGGUGUGCUGCGUUCCAUGGGCGUUUCAGCUCGUGGCCGUCCGUGCGAACCAGCUUGUAAGCUCCGGGUCCCGCUAUCUGCUUGACUCUAUAUGGCCCUUCCCAAUUCGGUCCCAGCACUCCUUGAGUCGAAUCUUUGGUGCUCUGAUUCACUCUUCUCAGUACCCAGUCUCCGACCUUGAAUUGCCGUAUGUUCACCUUCUGGUUAUAAUACCGAGCAACCCUCUGUUGGUAAAGGGCUGAUCGCUCGGCUGCUUGCUCCCUCCUUUCCGUUAGCAGAUCAAGAUUCAAACAUAUCUGCUCGUCGUUCUCCUGCUCGUUGAAAUGACCUGUCCGGUGUGUGGUCGUUCCUAUCUCAGCCGGCACGACCGCUUCAUGUCCGAAAGCCAAAGCGAACGGUGUCUCCCCAGUUGCGGUUUUGUGGGUUGUUCUGUAUGCCCAUAGCACACCUGACAGCUCGUCAACCCACGCACCCUUUUUUGCUCCAAGCCUGGUUUUCAAAAGCCUCUUGAUGGUCUUGUUGGCUGCUUCUACUUGUCCAUUCGAUUGAGGGUGAGCAGGCGAGCAAUACUUCAGCUCUAUCCCGAGGUUCUGGCAGAAAUCCCUGAAGCUGUGAUUAUCGAACUGCCUGCCAUUAUCCGUUACCAAGGCAUAAGGGAUCCCGUAUCGACAGACCAGGUUUCUCCACACGAAGUCUGUUGUUUUCUUCUUUGUGAUCCUGCUAAGGGCUUCUACCUCUAUCCACUUCGUGAAGUAAUCUAUAGCAACUAUUGCAUGUGUUGCUGCUCCUUGUGCCUUUGGCAAUGGGCCGAUCAGAUCAAUUCCCCAUUGAGCAAAUGGCCAAGGGGAGGCCAUGGAGGUGAGCUUCUCUGGGGGUUGGUUAGAGAAAUUUGCAAAACUCUGGCAGCUUACACAACUCCUGGUCUUCUCUUGCGCAUCCUGGUGCAUUGUCGGCCAGAAAUAUCCCUGCCUAAGAACCUUGUGGGCCAGGGACCUCCCGCCAGAAUGAUUUCCGCAAAUUCCUUCAUGUACUUCUCUCAGUACGUAAUCCGCGUCGUCCUCAUCCAAACACCGAAGGAACGGUAGUGUAUAUCCUCGCCGAUACAGCGCCCCAUCAAUCAUCGUGUAUCUCGAGGCCUGGGCUCUAAUCUUGCGAGCUCGCAGCUUAUCUGGUGGUAAUACUCCGUCUCUAAGGUAUGAAACUAUCGGGUCCCUCCACGAGCAUUUUUGUUCUAUCCGCAACACCCCCGAAUUCUGAUCGAUACUUGGGCUGGACUUCACCUCCAGAGGGACCGACUUUGGCAUUUUUGGGUCGGCUACUGCUGCCAUCCUCGCCAAAAUGUCUGCUCGACUAUUCUGCUCCCUGGGGAUCUGUACCACCUCCACUGCUUCGAACUUCCCCAUCAUCUGCCUGACUAUCUUCAGGUACUGCUCCAUCUUCUCCUCUCUUGGUUGGAAUCUUUCACUGACGUGAUUCGCAACCAGCUGGGAAUCAGUUCUGAUCUUAACUCUGUCUUCUUUCACGGCCUUAGCCAAUUCCAGACCUGCUAUCAAGGCUUCAUACUCUGCCUGGUUAUUUGUGGCUGCAAAUUCCAACUUUACAGCAUAAGAGAUCUCCUCCCCCUCAAGGCCUUCCAGGACAAUCCCUGCUCCUGAACCCCGCUCCCCUGAUGACCCGUCCACAGACAUCUGCCAUACUUGAUUUUCGUCAUUGCCUAUAACUGCAUCCUGUUGAUCUGAGCAUACUUCGGGCUCUGUGAAUUCAGCUACGAAAUCGGCCAUUGCCUGGGCUUUUAUCGCUGCGCGGGGUUUAUAGUCUAUGUCGAACUCGCUCAGCUCUACAGCCCACUUGACGAGCCGACCAGAGGCAUCUGGCUUGUGCAGAGUUUGACGCAAUGGCUGGUUUGUUAUUACCGAGACCGGGAAUGCUUGAAAAUAUGGCCUCAACUUCCGAGCAGCAACCACAAGGGCAAGUGCCCAUUUCUCCAACAGUGGGUAUCUAGUCUCAGCGUCGAGUAGGGCCUUGCUGGUGUAGUAUAUCGGAUACUGAACUCCUUCUUCCUCUCUCACCAGAACAGAACUGGCGGCCCGAUCCGACACCGCCAAAUACAGAUACAACUUGUCCCCAUCCCUUGGUGUGGACAGCAGCGGAGCUUGCUGCAAGUAUUGCUUCAAGUUCUGGAAGGCUUCCUCGCACUCUGGGGUCCAUUCUGUUUUCUUUCCCCUCCUUAUCACUUGAAAGAAUGGCUGACACUUAUCUGUAGCCUUGGAGAUGAAUCUGCUCAACGCCGCCAACCUCCCUGUGAGGCUCUGCAUCUCCUUCAGGUUACGAGGAGACGUCAUUUGCACAAUCGCCUGGAUUUUCUCGGGAUUUGCUUCAAUCCCCCUAUGGCUCACCAUGAAUCCAAGGAAUUUCCCUGACUCGACCCCAAAAGCACACUUUUCCGGGUUGAGCUUCAUCUUAUACUUCCUCAAAAGCUCGAAUGUCUCCUCGAGGUGUCUGACAUGUUCCUUCGGGAUUUUGGACUUGGUGAUCAUGUCAUCCACGUACACCUCCAUGGUUUUCCCAAUCAACGGCUUAAAGACUUUGUUCACCAGCCUUUGAUAGGUGGCCCCAGCAUUUUUGAGACCGAACGGCAUUACCCUGUAACAGAACAAACCUUGGUUAGUGACGAAAGCCGUGCUCUCCUCAUCCUGCUCGUACAUGGGGAUCUGGUUGUAUCCCGAGAACGCGUCCAUGAAGCUGAGCAGACCAUGUCCAGCCGUUGAAUCUACUAGCUGAUCGAUCUUUGGUAGAGGGAAGCUGUCUUUUGGGCACGCCUUAUUGAGGUCUGUGAAAUCCACACACAUCCUCCACUUGCCGUUUGCCUUCUUUACCAACACCACAUUCGAUAUCCACUCAGGGUAACUGACUUCCCGAAUGAACCCUGCUCUCAAGAACUUCUCCACCUCGCUAUUUAUUGCCUCAUACAUCUCCUGGUUGAAGCACCUCCUCUUCUGCCUUACUGCCCGAGCACCUUUCUUUAUUGCCAGCUUAUGACAUGCUACCUCAGGGUCAAUCCCUGGCAUGUCUUCAUGUGUCCAAGCAAACACAUCAGAAUGAGCCUGUAAGCAUUUCACCAACUCCUGCUUUUGCUCUCCCUCAAGCCUCGACCCGAUUCUGAUCAUCUUUCCCGGAUUCUCUGGUCCCAGGCUUACUGUUUCCAGAUCUUCUACAGGUUCUUGUCUGCCCUUCUUGUUUUCCACUCGGGUAUCGAGGGAUGUUAUCUGCAUUGCUUCCCUUGCUGCCGAGGAGUAGCAGCUUCUUGCGAUCCUCUGGUCUCCUCGUACCACUCCUACUACCCCAUUCACCCGGUACUUCAGAGCGAGAUAGUGGUUGGACAACACCGCUUUGCUCAUCCUUAAAAAUGGCCGACCUAGGAUCAUCUGGUAAGGACCUUCCUCGUCCACUACGACAAAGUCCAGUAUCAUUGUUCUUUCUGUCAGGGAGCUCCCAAUUGUGAUAGGCAGCUCGACCACGCCCAGAGGGACCAGCUUCCCUCCUCCGAACCCCUUCAAGGAGGUAUUGGUGUAUUCCAACUUUCGGUCGGCUAUUCCCAUCUCUUCCAGGGUUGACUUAAAUAACACAUCAACUGAGCUCCCUGUAUCAAUCAGUAUCCGGUCAAACUUCUUGCUAGCGACAGUAGCCUUGAUGACUAAAGCAUCAUCGUGGGGGUAUAGAAUCCCUUCCUCAUCCUCAUCCGUCCACAUGAUUGGCACUUGCCUGACCCUUGCUCGUUUGGCUGCUGGGGUGUUGAAGAGUACCUCUUUACUGGUCAUGGCGUACCUAGCAUAAUUUUUUCUCGAUCUGUUGGAAUCUCCGGCCAAUGUUGGGCCCCCAGCUAUCACCCUUACUGCGGGCUGCUCGCGCCUCAAGUUUCUACCACUCUGCUCCCCUUCACCUGUUGUGGCCACCAUCGGGAAAGUCCCAUCCAUAAACUCGUCCAGGUACCGAUUUCUCACCAAAUCUUCGACCUGGAUCUUGAGAUCUCUACACUCUGCCGUGGUAUGGCCAUGGGUGCCAUGGAACUUACAAUAACGUCUUCUAUCCCUCCUGUUGGGUAGCUUUGUUAUUGGUGUAGGGAGGUGCAGCAGACCUCGAUCCUUUAUGGCCUCGUACACCUCAUCCAGGGACAUCUUCAAGGAAGUGUACCGCCCAUAGUCCGGGUCCUGGUCGAUCAGGUGCACUGCUCUUUCUCUGUUUGCCCCGCUUUGAGUUGGGGGCGGUGGAAGUAAUUCUGGUCUGCUCGCUCUGCUACCAUGUUGGUGAAGACCACCAGAUGCCGACUCAUGCCUUCUCCAAGGCUCCCUAGCUGGGGAACGAGGAGGUUGCGCCCCGCUGCGCUGAUACUGUGGUGGCCUCUGAUGAGGCUGGUAAGCAGUUACCCGACCUCCUGCUCUACUACCGGAGGCCUGGUGGUCUCUCCUCCUGAUCGGCCCAUUCCCCGGUAAUGCUUUCUUCUCUUUCCUCCCCAACCCUUCCAACUGGUCUGUCUUAAUCCGUGCAGCCUUCUCCUCUUCAAUCUCGAUGUCUCUCUUAGCCUGUUCGUAUGCGGCUGCAUACGUUUGAAUAGCUGGGCUUCUCAAAUUGUACCACAACCUUCCUAUCUUCACCCCUUCUUUCAAUCCCCUUAACGCCUGAGGGUGGUUGAAGGCUCCCAAGUCGAGGACAGCCCGAUGAAACCUCUUGAUGAAUUCCCGAAGGGUUUCUUGCUCCCCCUGUUUCAUGCUUUUCAGCUCCAUCAUGUCGUCUUCCGGUGCCAUUGCCCCACUAAACUGCUCCGCGAAUUCCUGGCACAUCUGCUCGAAGGUUUUAAUGCUGCCCCGAGGAAGUUUCCUGUACCAUUCUCGUGCACGUCCCUCAAGGGAUAGUGGGAACACCCUGCACCUUUGGGAUUGAGAUAAUCCUUGUACCCCAGUUAUGUCGUUGAAGCGCUCUAUAUGCACCAGCGGAUCAGUUCUUCCCGAGUAUCUGAGGUCUGGGAGGCGGAAAUCUCUCGGAAUAACUGCCCUCAUGAUUUCUGUUGCGAGCGGCGAUUCUCCGUCCAGCAUUAUCCUCCAACCAGGGGCUCUGUUCCUUCCUUGCAUGUCGUCAAUUAUCUGCGCUAGUCUGCGCACUUCCCCCUCCAGCUGCAACGCACGACCAGGGUCACGUGCUGCAACUUGAUCCCACUCUUGCUCUACAUCAUGCAAGUGUUGCCUCAACUCUGUUUCCUCUGCAUUCACCACCCCGUCGCCCUCGUCACCAGUCUGUCUUGCUGGGGACUGCUCUCUUUCUCUAUGAAAUUCUCCCUGCAGAGGUACGUUACCUCUCUCACCACCAAAUCUCCCGGGGGUUUGACUUCUCCCCGCACUAUCGGGACCUGGUGCCACUCCACCGCCUCUCACCCUUCCCUCUUGGGUUACCCUUCGCUCGCUCCGCAGCUCAUGCAGGAUGGUUGUCAAGGUCUCCAUCUGCUUUUCCAUCCGUUCCAUCUGGUCGAACAUGACUUUUUCCCGUGCUUCGCUGACUAUCUCCCUCAGCGUCACGGAAUCGUUAAGCCUCCUAUCACCCCCUUGUGCACUACUUCUUCCUGUCUCCAUUGCUUUUCACUUGCUUCACCCCUCUUCUUGCUAUCAACAGAAGCUUUUUGCUCUGGUCCCCACAGACGGCGCCAAAAUGUUGAUGCAGGAUUCCGGUUCUUCUCGUUCUACGACCAGGAUCUCUGCUCGAUCAACUUCGUCACGACCAGGAGGUCUCCUCGCAAGACUUUUUCUCUAGAGAUUCCUGCGCACACAGACAAGUCAGAGUACGCCGGUUGUUUUCCCGGCGCAAACCCUCCGACGCUCAAGUCAGAUAUGAAGGUUCGGGGAACGCUUGCCACCGAUCUUAUGGCUUUUUCGUGGUUUUCUCUUCUUUUUAAUUCCUUUUCUAAUGAGAAAAAUGCCAACCCUUUUACCUCGUCGGCUACCUUUUUAUAGGCUUCCUCUGAAUCCCAGUUUUCCGCUCUUUUCGAGACGGUAUGGGACUCUGACUGCUGCGUUAUGGGCAAACGUGGGAUCUUGCGUGUUACGCCACCGUUCUGGGAAAAGCGCGGCAGUCGUGGUUCUGUGAGAUCUUGCGUGUUACGCCACGGUUCUGGGGAAAGCGUGGCUGUCGUGCCUAGGUUCUCGGGCUGGAGAGCAUGUCUCGUCAACUGCCGUCGACCGGGUCUCCUCGCCUCUCGACCUCUAGCCGGAAUGACCUUAUGCCUCUUACAGGAAAUUGGCCUCGCGGAUGACCUGCUCGUGGACGAGCAGGAUAUUUCUGCUCCUGUUCCCCCGCGUACCAGGCUUUUACGGGACACACCGGUUCGCAGAACUCUGCCAUCAGAUAUCUGCUCACCGUGCCUGGUCUCGUCGACGUAUUUCUCCCAAACACCUGGUAUGACUGCUUAUGCUGGAUUUUAUGAGGUGUGCUCUCCUAAGCAAGGAGAGUGGGUCUUAAUAUGGGCAAGGGUGCAGUUGGUCAGCUUAUGGGGCAGUUUGCAAAGUUACUGGGCUGCUAUGUUGUCGGAAGUGCUGGAAGCAAAGACCAGGUAUACAAACAAACAAUCCGUAUCAGUUGCUUGAUUGUUCCCAUUUUGCUUUCAAAAUAUCUAACUUACAUAAGGAAAAUUUUCACCAUCUCGUCUUUUCUUUGAUUUUGAACGCUAAGAUUGAUCUACUGAAGAAUAGGUUUGGGUUCGAUGAGGCGUUCAACUAUAAAGAAGAUCCUGAUUUGAAUGCAGCCUUGAUAAGGUUAGUAUAUCAGCAAACUACAAAUUAGAAGACAUUUUUUCCUGAAAAUCAAAUAAUGUUUCUAAUUUGACAGGUGGUUUCCUGAAGGCAUUGACAUAUACUUUGAAAACGUUGGUGGGAAAAUGCUCGAUGCGGUGCUGAUCAACAUGAAAAUCGGUGGUCGAAUUGCUGUGUGUGGGAUGAUCUCGCAGUACAACCUUGACGAACCCAAAGGCGUACACAACUUGACGCGUCUUAUUUCGAAACGGGUUCGGAUGGAAGGAUUCCUCGUAUCGGAUUACAAUAAACUCUAUCCGAAAUUUCUGGAAAUGAUCAUUCCUCACAUCAAGGGGGGAAAGAUUGUAUACAUUGAAGACACGGCUGAAGGUCUUGAGAGUGCUCGGGCAGCUCUCGUCGGUCUGUUCUCUGGCCGGAAUCUCGGGAAACAGGUGGUUGCAGUUGCUUCUGAAUGAAUGAAGGAUUUGGUUGUUUACAUCAUGCUUCUACUCGUCCAUUUAUUUAAUAAAAUGGUUACGCUCAAUGAGUGUAAUUUUUAUGAUGCUAAAUUAAAUGUGGAAUGUGGCUGCUGGUUUGAUAAUGUUAAAAGUGCUAAAAAAUUUCAUGUUAGGCGCGGUGUGCGUCUGUAUAUCAUUUUUAGGUACGGGCAUUCUAUCUUUUUUUUUUAAUUAAUACAGACACAUUCUUAAACUGUAUGGUUUAAGAGAGAGUUAAAAAAAACUUUUACCACAUGGUUUAAAAGCGUAUCCGUAUGGAAAAAAAAUGAAAGUCCAUUGGAGAAGAAUUUUAUAUAUAGUCCAGGAUAUUAAAGUGCGGGAAAACUAUAGAGUUUUAAAAACUUAAAAUUUAAAACGUUUAAACUGCACGAUUUAUGUGUUUUUCGAUGUGAUCCCACAUUUUAAAAUUGUGGAUUGGAACAUUUGUCUUUGAGGGAAAAAAAACAAUAACAACAACUUCUUUUGGAGACCGUGGGGCUCAUAUGCAGAUUCAACCCCGAGCUAUACACUGGAUCUGGUGGGCUAGGUUUGAACCCAAAACAAGCUCUAUUCAUUACACGGUUCAGCGGGUUGGUCCAUUUGACGCUUCUAACUUAACAAUUUAAUCAUAAUAAAUUGAAAAAAUAAAAUAAAACCCACGUAUCUAAAUUAUUGUAUUGAGCUAUUGGUGCAGAGAAUAAGUAUAUAUGAGAACAAAAACAACACGAUGUAGUCGCUCGUUUUGUCACUUCUAAAAUCAGGAUUUAGAGCAUCACCAAAAGGCUCUUCAAAUAAGAUUUUAUUACUCAUUUGAAGAGCCACAUCAAUAUUUAAAGCUCCAAAAGACACUCUAAUUAAGAUUCUUCAAAUAAGAAUUGAUUCUCUCUCUUCAAAUUUGGAGAGUUAAUUUCUCCCUCUUCAAUUUAUAUUUUAUUACUUUUCAUUAAAAAAAGAGAGAGAAGUGCUUUAAUUGCUAUUGACUUUUCCUUUUAAAAACUAAUUAUAUGAUUAAAAUAAUAUUAACUUAUUUCUAUUUGAAGAGUCUUUUGGAAAAUAUCAUAUUUUUUCACCCUUCUAUUUGCCACAUAGGUAAGCAAAUAGAUAUUUGAAGAGUAAAAUUUAUAGAGGCUUUUGGAGAUGCUCUUAUGAUAGAGUCAUAGUGUUAACAGUACAUCGGUGUAUAAUUAUUUGUAAUGAAAUUAAUUAAUAUGGGUUUUAUGUUGUCUUUGUCAAUAAUCAAUUAAAUUUUUCGUUUUCAUUUAAAUGUUACUGAUCGAUGAAACAUUUGACUGCGUUCAAGUUAUCUUUUAAUUUUGUGAGAUCCACAUUGUUUUUAUUUCAAAAACAUAAUUUUUCAUAUUAUUAAAAAGCUGUUGCUUGGGCCUAGAGAAAUUGGAUUAAUGAAAUACCUUAAGGGUGUGUUUGACACAUUAUAUUGUAUUAUGUUGCAUUGCAUUAUUUUAUUUGGUGUUGCACUAUACUUUACUAAUUUUUUUGCAAUUAAUUUAAAUUACAUAGUUAGCAAAUAAUAUUUAUUAGUGCUUAGAAAAAUACUAAAUAUAGAAGUCUUAAAUUUUAGAAAUUUAACAAUUUUUUUACUAUAAAUGUUAAAAAAUAUAAUAAUUCUUCAUAAAGAUGGAAGCUUACAGCCUUAAGUUUUUGGAAGCAGAGCAUUUAUUUUUUAGUAUCUUCUAAAUAUAUAAUUUUUGAAAUAAAGAUAUAAGCACAUAAUUUAAUCACAUAGUCUUUAAAUAAUAUAACAACAUAAAUAAAUAGUUAAAAUGUGCAAGAUUAGUUCAAAACUCAUCUUAGGAUGAUAUAAUAAAAGUUUAUACACACCACAAGAUAAUCACAAAAUAAUAAAGUGAUAAAAUUAUUAUAACAUAUUCACUACCAAAAUAAAUUAUAUUAAAUAAUCCAAGUGAGAGUUCUGUAGUUUAUAUAAUAAUAUUAUUUAUGUUAUUAUUAUUAAUUUUAAAUUAAUAUUAUCCAAAUUUAUUCAUACUUAAAUAUGUAUUAUUAGUUAUAUUACAUUAUUUUUACAUAUUAAUUAUUGUAAUAUAAUUAAAUAAUGUAAAAUUAUAUUAUAUUUUUAUAUACUAUUUAAGUAUUUAUUAUUAAUUAUAUUCAAUUAUAAAUUUAUUAAUAAAUUAUAGUGCAAAAAAAAAUAGAAAUAAAAAUUAAUAUUGUAUAAUAAAUAACAUUCUGCUCCCAAUUUCUGGAUUUUAAAUUCCAAAAAUAGUAUUCACGUUCGCCACAUUCAAAAAUCCAACCUGGGCUUGGAGAUUCGAUUCAUCUCAUAGAUUAAUUUUAUAAACUAAUGUUUAGUGAAAAAUUAACCUUAAUGGGUCCUCCUCUCCAGGCCUAAUUCUUAAUUUUUUUUUUAAUUUGGUCCUACUUAAGUGGCUUCUAACGUUACCGUGUCUUUAUUUUGUGUACAGUUGUUUUACUAAUUUGUCAUUUAGUGCAAAUAACAGCACUCAACUUGUAAUAUCCAGUAUCCACAAAUCAGCCACUUCGGCCAAGGCCGAAGUGGUGGGCUGCUGCCCUCACAAUGCUUGUGAGGGCAGCGGUUCUAGCCCCCACAAAAGCAUUGUGGGGGUUAAAUGUUCUUUAUAUUUCCAAAAAAAUCCUUCUCUCUUGCAAAAUGUAAGUGGAGUAUGGACAUCCCUCUCCUGUGAGGGGUUAUUUGUCUGGGCAUGUACUUCAUAGAAUUCAUUGUAAUAAUGUAAGUCCCAAUCAUGUAUAUCUGAUUGUAAAUAUCAGUGUAAUAUCUCUGCUACAAUAAGCAGUUGUUGUAAAUAUCUGUCUGAUGAUUAAUCAGUAUUCAAAAAAAAAAAAGUAUCCACAAAUCAUGAACUCAUUUUUUAGUUCUUUCAUGUGUACUAACAUUCGUACAAAUAUACAAUAAGUUCAUAAUUUAGUCCAAGUUGACGAGAAAUUCUUGACCCACCCCUAAAUAUCUGUCCGCCAAUAGCGUGAAGUGGCCGGCAUAAAUUUAAAGCAGCUGGGACAUUGUAACUCAUCCAAAGAUUGUAUAACAUCUCUUUUUUGCUUUAUCGUUUUUCUCCAGUUGCAUAGUUUCUUAUCCUACCGCUUUAAAAACAAUUAUUCCUAGAAAUUUUCAUUUAUCUAAUGAAUUUUAAGAAUUUUUUCAGCAAACAAUUUUUACUUUUUUUUUUUUUUAUCAUUGAUGGGUAAAGAAAAUAUUAAUGAAAAAUGAGGAGUUAUUGGCUGGUUCAACGGAUUAAUUGCAAUGAUAAAUACAGGGAGGAUUGGAUUAUAUGGCAAAUUUUUAUAGUAAAUGUAAUAUAUAUGCUAACACUUUUUAUUUAUGGCAAAAUAUCUUCCUCUUUUGAGACUUUUCCCUCUAAGAAAAUUGGAGGAUACGACAAUAUAUAUAUAUAUAUAUAUACUAAUAUUUAUCAUUUAUAGAAAAGUAUCUAUCCCACUUAAGAUUUGCCCCACUAGAAAAGGAAAAAAAAAUCCCUCAAAAUAAAAGAGCGAAAUGGAAACAGAACAAAAUUUGAUUUUGUGGAUCUUGUAUUGUGUGAUAAGUCCGGCAUGCAAUUUUGGGCCAGCUUACCGUGCGCAUGGGAGCAUUCACAAAGUAUCUCUCGUCACUAUCGAAAACUUUUAACAGUCAAUACAAAUGCUUCCGUUUCAUCCCAUAAACAAAUAAAAUUCACAUCUGUACACAUCUACUUUGCUUUGCUAGAUAGAGUUCCUCUGCAUUUCCCAAUUGCCUAAAGAGAAGGGGAAAAGAAAAAGAGGGCCAAAAAAUGCCUGAAAUGGUAAGGAACAAGCAAGUGAUAUUGAAGGACUAUGUGUCUGGUUUCCCAAAAGAAACAGACAUGUACAUGACCGAAAGUUCCAUAGAAUUGAAGGUGCCAAAAGGUUCAAAUGGGGUUCUUUUAAAGAACUUGUACUUGUCCUGUGAUCCGUACAUGCGACCAAGAAUGACCUACAUCGAAGGAUCUUAUGUUGAAUCCUUUAAACCUGGCUUGGUUAGUGCACUCGCUCAUGGCCACGCUUUUCAUUUCCAUGGCUUCUUGCUCUUUUGUUAUAGAAAAUUUAUUUUUGGUUGCAGUUUGGUUCGACUGCUAAAAUCUCGUGCGAUAAUUGUAUAAGAUAUCUAGAGUUUGAACUUCUUUCACAUUAGGGUUCAAGGAAGUUAACUUAAAUGAUUUUCAAAAUUUUAAAUGUGUACCAAUGAAUUUAAUUUCAUAGCUUAAACUUAUUGUUUGAUCAUACUCUAACUUUGGACAGGAAAAUUAUAUUUUUCCUUUUGUUCUUUGACUUCGUGUAUGUUGUGUGAAGUACUUGUGCUUGAAAAUGAAUUGCUGACACAGAAAUUUCUAUGAAUGCAUGCAGCCCAUAAGUGGAUAUGGGGUGGCUAAAGUUUUGGAUUCAGAGAAUCCAGAGUUCAACAAAGGUGACUUGGUUUGGGGAAUGACUGGAUGGGAAGAGUAUAGUCUCAUUACGGCUCCACACUUGUUUAAAAUUCAGCACACAGAUGUGCCUCUUUCUUACUAUACUGGAAUCCUCGGUAAACUUUUUGUUUGCGCAAUUUAUGUGAGCAAAUUGUGUCUUCUUUUUCAUAUGUAAAUGUUUUUGAUAUCUUGAUGUGAAGGUAGAAAAUUGCAUGUUUUGAGUUUUUGCAUAUUUGAUGGAAACACAGAACCGUACCUGAAUAUUUCAGAACCCCCUUUUCUUUGAAGUUUGAACACUUUUCUUGAAUGUAUCAACUUUAUUUAUGGGAUAUGUUGCCAAAUUGGCAAAUCUAUUCGUUAUAAAACUUUCCUUUGACAGUUUAAUCUAAGCAGAUGUUAAUUCUGCAAAUAGAGUGUGCCUUAGUUUAGAUUGAUAGAUUUGUCUCCUUCUGUACAGUAAAAACUUUGAGCAUUUUCGCCAUAUUCUGAUCAAUACACUCCAACUAGUUAGUUCUUGAGGCGUUUCCUGGUUUCGUGGAGUGAGCCAAGAUGUAUACGUUUGCAAAUUGGCAAUGUCUUUUGCUUGAUGUGUUGUGAGUUGUGAGUGUCAAUAGGAAAGUUUCAAAGUGCGCAGUGCUCACUUGAGCACCCAUAUUACUUGGUGACCUGUUGCCUCAGCAAACAAGACCUCUGUUUUAUGAACUCCAAAAAGUUAUUCUGUUAAAAAGAUCGAGACAGAGGCCAUACUAUAUUUAUUAUUGCUAUAAAAGUGUCAAACAAUAUUCUUUAUUUAAUAUUCUAAACGAUUGAGCCAUUUAGUUAUGAUACUCUGCUGUACUGGGGCUAAUAAUCUAAGUCGGUUCAAAGUGGUAAAUUUAUAAAUUGAUAGGUAUGCCUGGUAUGACCGCUUACGUUGGAUUUUAUGAGGUCUGCUCUCCUAAGCAUGGAGAGUGCGUCUUCAUAUCAGCAGCAUCUGGUGCAGUUGGUCAGCUUGUGGGGCAGUUUGCAAAGUUAUUGGGUUGCUAUGUCGUCGGAAGUGCUGGAAGCAAAGACAAGGUAUGUAAUCUGUGUGAACUACUUGAUUGUUUCCAUGUUACUUUCAAACAUUUAAAUUAAAAAGGAAAUUUUCAUAAUCUUGCCUUUUCUAUGAUUUUCAACACCAAGGUUGAUCUACUGAAGAACAAGUUUGGGUUCGACGAGGCAUUUAACUAUAAAGAAGAAGCUGAUUUGAAUGCAGCAUUGAAAAGGUUAGCAUCAAUAAAUGCCUUAGCUUGAUGCAGCUUGAUGAAGUAUGAUACACAUUUCUGACCAAUAUACUGCGUUCCCUGAUCUCUUACUUGAAAUAUCUUGGUUUGAGAAUCUCAUGCCAAUGCCUUUAACAUUUUGGCAGGUACUUUCCUGAAGGAAUUGAUAUAUAUUUUGAAAACGUUGGUGGAAAAUUGCUUGACGCAGUGCUACCCAACAUGAAAAUCCGUGGUCGAAUUGCUGCAUGCGGUAUGAUCUCACAGUACAAUCUUGACAAGCCUGAAGGUGUGCACAACUUGAUGUAUCUUGUUUCGAAACGGCUUCGAAUGGAAGGAUUCAUUGUUCUGGAUCACUAUCACCUCUAUCCAAAGUUUCUGGAAAUGAUCAUUCCUCACAUCAAAGAAGGGAAGCUUGUAUACGUCGAAGACAUGGCUGAAGGUCUGGAGAGUGCUCCGGCAGCUCUCAUCGGUCUAUUCUCUGGCCAGAAUGUUGGGAAACAGGUGGUUGCUGUUGCUCCUGAAUGAAGAACAAGUUAGUGUUGUGUGUUCUUUUACCCUUUGACACAAAACUUCAAUGUUAAAGAGAGAAUGCUGCUCAUACUGCUUUAUAAAAUAAUCAAAUGAGUGCAAGUUUCAUGAUAUGUGCUGAAUAAAAAUAUUGGAAAUUAAGCAGCUAGCCUAGCUCCUUCUUGUAGUUGCAGUUUGAAUGAUGCUGCUGCACAACUGCUGCCGAAAAAAUCCUUAAUAGAUGAUUAGCAAGGUUUCAAAAAUAAAAAUAAAUGUUUGUGCAAUGUGCCGAAUAUGACAGCCACAAAGAAAGAGCAUACAAAUUGACUGGUUUUAUGUCUUCUCUAGGAGAAAGCUACAAUACAAGAAAUUGUAUUGAUGCCAUGGACCAAAUUUCUUAUUUAAACUUUUAAUUUUUUUUUAUUAAAAUUACUUAUGUUAUUAUGGUUUAUAUUUUUAGAAAUUCUUUAGAAAUUAAUACAGAACUAGUAGCAAGUUGAGAAAUCUAAUGAAUGGUCGAGAUAUGAUCAUGUUUAUUGAAUUAAAUUGACAAUCAUCAUUUUGAUAAAUUAUUGUUAGGAUAUUUGAUUCAUCACAGGUGUAAGUAACUAAAUGUGCUAAAAAAAAAGUUAAUGAGUUGUGAGUGUUUGAUAUUCGUUUGUUGUAAUUCUUUUAAUAAUUGUUGUGGGAAAAAAAUUAUGGUAAAAAAAUUAUAAUUAUAAAAUAAAAAUUAAUAAUAUAUUAUAAAUAAAAUUUUUAAAUAAUAAUUUUAAUAAAAUAAUAAAUAUAUUAUGAAUUUUUCAUUAUAAAUUUUUAAGUUAAAAUAAUAAAUAUUUAUUAAAUAUUUUAAUAGCACAACUUUUAAAUUAUAACAGUACAAUGUAAAUACCAGAGGUCUUAAAAAAUAAAAUUACAGUCAAGUUUUAAAACUGUUAAUAAUGCUAUUCAUAAAGGCGCUCGUCGUGUAAACAACACAUGGGACCCAACCAAUAAAUGUUUAUGAUCCUCAACUUUCCUCCUCACCGUCCCUGCAAACAAUUCUGAUUUUCUUGUCUGAGAAAAAAACUGAGAAACAAUGGCGGCCGAACAAGAAGCUGUGAGCAAUAAGCGGGUGAUUCUAAGCAACUAUGUGACAGGUUUUCCAAAAGAAUCGGACAUGAAGAUAACAUGUGGAUCAAUAAAACUGGAGGUAGCAGACGGUUUAAAAGACACGGUGCUUUUGAAGAAUCUUUAUAUUUCUUGUGAUCCUUACAUGCGAGAGCGUAUGAGCAAGCUUGAUAGACCUUCUUUUGUUGAUUCAUUCCAUCCUGGUGAGGUUAGUUCAUCACGACCCAUCUCUUGAUUUUUUUUUUUUUUCAUUUGCUUCAAGUUUUGAUGAGUUUCUGAGGUCAUUUGUACGGUUUUGGAAUGUGAACACUAUUAGUGAUUUUGGGGCUGUAACUGUCAUUAAUGAUAUGUAGUAAUUCAAUCAGAAUUUGGAUUUAGUGCUGAUAUGAUCUCUGCUCAUUUUUUAAAAUCUUGUGUCCAGAUGCAUUUUUAUAAUCUUGUACGGUUGAGAUUGUAAGUAGAUUAAUCUACGUGCAGUAUUCUUGUCUAAUGACUACUAACCACAACCUUAUGAGACGAUCGAAACCAAGCUCAGAUCAAUAAUCCAAUUGAGAGAGGGUCCUAACUCAAGCUUAUCGUGUGUAGGAAUAUUUCGGUUAAAUUGUAAUUCUUUUAAUAAUUGUUGUGAAAAAAAAAAAGUUAUGAUAAAAAAAUUAAUAAUUAUAAAAUAAAAAUUAAUAAUAUAUAAUAAAUAAGAUUUUUAAAUAAUAAUUUUAAUAAAAAAUAAUAAAUACAUUAUCAGUUUUUCAUCGUUAAUUUUUAAGUCACAACCACAAAUAUUUACUAAACACUUUAACACCAUAAUUAACACCACAACUAUUGAAUUAUAACUGUACAAUCUAGACGCCAAGAGGCCUUAGUAUGAAAAAAAAAAAUUACAGUUAAGUUAAAAUUCAUCAUACAGAUGUGCCACUUUCAUACUAUACCGGGAUCCUCGGUAAUGAUUUUUGUUACACAAUAAGAUUUGCUUAUAGUAAUAUCAAUACAUAUGCUGCUUAAAUGCUUUCUGAUUUUUUGCCGGCCAUUGUCCAUUUUGCCAGGGAGUCUAUAAUUGAAGGAAUUUACUGAAGGAAUGCUGAUUGUUGGGAAUUUGAUUAUUCUAGGUAUGCCUGGUGUAACUGCAUACGCUGGUUUAUACGAAGUUUGCUUUCCGAAGAAAGGAGAGUAUGUCUAUGUAUCUGCAGCAUCUGGAGCUGUUGGUCAGCUUGUUGGACAGUUUGCAAAAUUAGCUCGUUGCUAUGUUGUUGGAAGUGCAGGAAGCAAAGAAAAUAUAGCACCGUGCCUUCUAGCAGAAUUUUACUUGCUUUAUGUUCCAACUAAGCAUCCAUAUUUGAUCAUGAUAAUUAGCAAGGUCAAUAAUUUUUUUUUGACUAUUUUUUCAACGUAAGGUCGAUUUGUUGAAGAACAAGUUUGAACGAUGCUUUUAACUACAAGGAAGAGCCUGAUUUGGAUGCAGCACUCAAAAGGUCAGCUGCAACAAACGUUUCAACUCUAAUAUUUCAUUUUAAUAUUACAGAGCUUUGGUUGAAGUGUGUGAGUUGAUCCCAGAAACGUAACUUCAUCAGUGUCUCUGUUUUCAAAAAACAGGACAAAUAGAAAUCUGAUUUUGCUUUAAAAUUUCCCAGAUGCUUCCCUCAAGGAAUCGACAUAUAUUUCGAAAAUGUUGGGGGAAAGAUGCUGGACGCAGUGCUACUCAACAUGAGGCUCCGGGCCGCAUUGCAGUAAGCAGUAUGAUCUCACAGUAUAACCUGGAAAAACCCGAAGGCGUUCACAACUUAGAGCAACUGAUCGGGAAACGGAUUCGCCUGGAAGGAUUUCUAGCUGGUGAUUACUAUCACCUCUAUCUGAAAUUCUUGGAACUGGUCAUUCCUCCAAUCAGAGAAGGAAAGAUGCUGUAUGUGGAAGACAUGGCCGAAGGACUCGAGAAAAUUUCUCGUAACUGCUACACAUUAAACGCGUUUCACAUUUCCACUCUCUUUCUAUAAAUAAAUACGCACAUAAAAUUUCUCACCAUCCAAAAACAAAAUCUACAUAAAAAAUGGCGGGUGAAGAAGCAGUGAGCAACAAGCAGGUGAUUCUGAGCAACUACGUGACAGGGUUUCCCAAGGAAUCAGACAUGAAGAUAAUAACAGGCUCAAUAAACCUUAAGGUGCCAGAGGGUUCAAAAGACACAAUGCUUUUGAAGAAUCUUUAUCUUUCUUGUGAUCCUUACAUGAGAGGACGUAUGAGCGAGCUUGAUAAGCCUUCGUUUGUUGCCUCAUUCGAGUCUGGCGAGGUCAGUUACUUCAAUUCCCAUCUCUUGGUUUCAUAAUCUUUUAUGGUUUUAGAAGGUGUUUUAGGGAAACAUUGUGGUUUUGGUUAGUGGGCAUGAGUCUUUGAAGAGAUUAUAAUGUGUAGGACUAUGCAUGCAAUAAUAAGCAUAGGGGAUCUUGUUAGGAGAAGAUUCUCUUAGCAAAAUAAAAACUUUUAUCUUAUCAAAACAUAUGCAGGGAACUUAGUUAUGAUGUCAUGUUAGCAUUAUCUCUGAGGAUUUGAUUUCUUGAUGGGGAAAGGGGAAUUUAAGGUUACAUUAUUCAGCAAUGUUUUUUUUUUAAAAAAUUAUGUUCAAAUUAUGCAGCCUUUAAGCGGAUAUGGAGUGUCCAAAGUGUUGGAUUCCACGCCUCCAAAUUAUAAGAAAGAUGACUUGGGUGGCGUUUGUUUUUUAACUUAAUGACUUAAAGUGACUUAACUUAAUUAAUUAAGUUAAUUAGAGAUGUUUGUUUUUAUAACUUAAUGUGACUUUUUAAAUAAUUUUGACUUAAUAAAAUAAGCCAAUUUUAUUUACUUUUUACUUAAUAGAGACAUCUGAAUUAAGUCAAGUACUUUCUAAUGUCAAAAAUAUACAUGCUUUAUAAUUUAUUUUUCAUGUCUAUCCCAAAACUCACCCAUAGACAUUUACCCCACAUAAUAAUCUCAUCAUUAUUUUUUUAGCCGUCAUGAAAUCCCUCCUCACUUUGGUAUCAACUCCUCAACUAUUGAAGAUCAAAAUUACAUGCGACAACUUCGAGAUGAAUGGCAAAUCAACUGUUUCAAGCAUCUUAUUCGUUUUUUUUCUUUUUUAUAUUAUAUACGAUAAAAUUUGAAAUUUAUGGUAUUUUAUAUAUUAAAAUUCCAAAAUCAUUAUAUAUUCACUUGAAUAUAGUUUUACUUAUAAAUGUUAAAAUAUUGUGAUAUUUAAUAUAUUAUUUAUUUGACAUUCAAAUUUAAUAAGGAUACAAAUGUAAAAGUACAUAUUUUUCAGUUUUUUAAGUUGAAAAAAGCAAACAACUUAAUAAUUAUUUUUCGAGAUUCAGACGAAAAAACAAACAUAUUAUUCAGAUUCAGACAUUCAGAUCUAUUCAGAAUUUAGACUAAUUCAGGUCUAUUCAGAUUUCAGAUAAAAAAACAAACGCCACCUUGGUCCGGGGCUUAACCAGUUGGGAGGAGUUCAGUCUCAUCCAAUCACCACAACUUCUGAUUAAAAUUCUGGAUACAAGUGUGCCUCUGCCAUAAUUAAUUGACAGGUUGCUAUGUUGUUGGAAGUGCCGGAAGCAAAGAAAAGGUGAGUUUGCACCCUUAACCCUUACGCUCUAAAUAAAAACAUAACACCUUCUGAAAGAAUUGUGCAUAGAGAAUUUUGCAUGUCACAUUAUUUGUGUUCUAACUAAUCAUGGAUAUUUGAUCAUUAGUCUAACUAAAACUGACAUAUUACCACCUAGUUGACUGGUCUUUGAGAAAUGUUAGUUGAUAUAUGCUUGAAAUCAUACUUGUUUUAUUAGAUGAUUAUAUUAACCUGCUUCUUUUUCUUUGUGCUGUUUCUCGUUUGAUUACAUUUUCAACAUUAGGUCGAUCUAUUGAAGCACAAGUUUGGGUUUGAUGAUGCCUUUAACUAUAAGGAAGAGCCUGACUUGGAUGCAGCUCUUAAUAGGUUAGCACGAAUGAAUGCUUUAACCAUUUUUCUCACUUCAUUAUUACAAUGCGCUGAUUGAAGUAAUCAGUGUUGGCUCUGAAAAUGUAACGUAUACUUCUCUGUUUUCAUAAAACAGGACAAACAGUGAUCAGUGAUCUCAUUCGUUACAUUGAUAUUUUCUACCAUUGCCAUACAUAGUAUAAACUAGGAAUUCAGUUGCUUAAUAGAUAUUCAUUUCAGAGGGAAAUUUUCACUUGCAGCUAACAGAAUCAUGUUUGUGAUGUAUGUUUAUUUGGGAAAUGAAAGGAUUUGUUGCAUUAUUUUAUUCCAAGUUUGCUGAAAUCAUAUUUGUUUUCCCAGGUGCUUUCCUGAAGUUAUCGACAUCUAUUUCGAAAAUUUUGGAGGUAAGAUGCUUGAUGCAGUGCUACUCAACAUGAGAAUUUGUGGCCGCAUCGCUGUAUGCGGAAUGAUCUCACAGUACAACUUUGAGAAGCCUGAAGGUGUACACAACUUGAUGCAAGUAGUUGGAAAACGAAUUCGCAUGGAAGGAUUUCUUGCCAGUGAUUUCUACCACCAAUAUCCAAAAUUCUUGGAACUGGUUAUGCCGGCAAUCAAAGAAGGAAAGUUAGUAUAUGUCGAGGACAUAGCUGAAGGCCUCGAGAAAGCUCCAUCAGCCCUAGUUGGGAUAUUCACAGGUCAAAAUGUUAAAAAACAACUGGUUGUAGUUGCUCGGGAAUGAUAUGAUUACUAUAUGCUUUAAAAAGUGGACUUUGCCAUGCACUUUAAAAGCUUAGUGAAGAUGCCUUUGUCUUAUUUUUGAUACAUGUUAUGUUUGUUUGAUCAAGUUGUACUCAGCUAUAAAUCAAAGAUUCAGAACAUGUGUAUGAUACUGGUUUCUAAAUCAAUGAACGCGUUGAAAUGUUAGUGUUUUCACAGGAGAAUGCAAUUUAAUUCAUCAACAAUGUCCCAACAAGACCCUCAGAGCUGUAGCUUGUAAAGUUAAUUACGAUAUUUUUUUGUAAAGUAAAUUACCAUAUUUUUUUCUUUCCAAUAUAUUGCUUAUUUCAUAGAAAGUUUACAUUAAAGUCUCAUGUUUCUUUGAAAGGUAAGCAAGUGUGAACGUUUCAAUCUAGAGCUGGAAAAUGCAUUUCCGGGCAACUUACUUGAUACAUGAAGUUUUCAUCUCUGACCUUGAUGUUUCCCAUAGUUGCAUUCAUUUCAGCUGAUCUAUUUAAUUUUGUUUUCGAAGGAGUGACACAAAAUCUCCUUUGUUAAGGGGAGAAUUUAGAGUGGCUUUGACUGUUAGCAAAUAGCCUAAUGUAAGACUUAACCAACUUCCUGCCCUGUUGUAUGCUUAUGAAUUUUGAUAGAGCUAAGAGUUUGCAGAAGCUACUGUAUUAUUUGUCGUUAGAGGCUGUAAAAAUCAAACACAUUUAAAUUUCAAUGAAAAUUUACUGGAAGUAAAUUUCCUAUGAUCCCACAGGUGACUAAUUAAUGAGAACUUGACAAUGACAAAAGAAAGUCUAUGAACUUUGCAGGCUGGCAUGCCAAUAUUGACUGGGUGGCACCAUCCACCAUCUGCAAGUGAAUAUCAUUGUUGUUUAAUCAACAAGGUGGAGUCCACUGGGACCACACCACAUCGUCAGCCUUAUCUCUAUUCCUCAAUUUUCAGUAUUCCAUACAUCAAACCAAUUUCAGUUUUGUUAUCAAUUAUAAUUUUAUUGUUGGUGACGAUUCUGAUUCCUUUCUGACAAAAGGGAACCAUGGCUGCUGCUGGAGAGAUCUUACUCAACGCCUUCUUUCAGGUACUGUUCGACAGGUUGGCUUCUCGUAAUUUGCUCAGCUUUGUGCGUCAACUCCAAGGCGGGGUUGAUUCGGAGCUCAAAAAGUGGGAGAAAAAGCUGAAGAUGAUUCGGGCUGUGCUCUGCGAUGCAGAGGAGAAGCAACUGACUGACGAGGCUGUGAAGAUGUGGCUGGACGAACUCCAAGACUUGGCUUAUGACGCUGAGGACACUCUUGAUGAGUUUGCUACUCAAGCUUUGGAAAGCAAGUUGAUGGCGCAAAAUCACGAUAGUUCUGGCCAGGUUCUCAGUUUCAUCCCGGCUGGUUUGAAUCCGAAUGCUAUUAUGUUCAAUUAUAGCAUGGGGUCCAAGAUGAAAGAUAUUACUAGCCGGCUGGAGCAACUCUGCCAAGAAAGAAUUGAACUUGGACUGCAACGGAUUACCGGAGAGGCAUCAUCAACUGCUGCUGCUGCACACCAGAGGCCACCCAGUUCGAGUGUCCCAACAGAACGUGAAGUAUUUGGAAGAGAAAAAGAUAAGGCCAAAAUUCUUGAUAUGUUAUUAGCCGAUACCAUAAGUGAUCAUGCUAACUUUGUUGUAAUACCCAUUGUUGGCAUGGGUGGGAUAGGAAAAACAACUCUCGCUCGGGAGGUUUACAAUGACAAAGCCGUUGGAGGUUCCAAGUUUGAUGUAAAAGCAUGGGUUUGUGUAUCUGAUGUCUUUGAUGUUUUGGGCAUCUCAAAGGCACUUCUCGAGUCAAUCACCCGCAGGCCUUGUCUUCUAAACAGUUUAAAUGAAGUGCAGGUUGAAUUGAAAGUAGCUGUGGAUAAGAAAAGAUUCUUGCUGGUCUUAGAUGAUGUUUGGAACGAGGACUACAGCUUGUGGGUAGACUUAAAAGCUCCGUUCCUGGGUGCUGCACCAAACAGUAAGAUGAUCGUCACCACACGCAAUUCAAAUGUUGCAUCAACAAUGGGACCAAUUGAACAUUACAAUCUCAAGAGUCUGUCAGAUGAUGAUUGCUGGUCCAUUUUCAUAAAGCAUGCAUUUGAAUCUAGAGAUCUUAACGCACAUCAAAUUUCAGAAUCAUUCCGCAAGAAAGUUGUUGCCAAGUGUGGAGGCUUGGCCCUGGCAGCAAAAACACUCGGAGGCCUUCUGCGUACGACGAGGCAUGAUGCGUGGGAUGAUAUAUUAGAGAGCAAAAUAUGGGAUUUACCUCGACAAAGUGGGGUUCUCCCAGUAUUAAGAUUGAGUUACCAUCAUCUUCCUUCUCAUUUGAAAAGAUGUUUUGCUUUUUGUGCCAUCUUUCCAAAAGAUUAUGAAUUCACUGAGAAGGAGCUGACUUUCUUAUGGAUGGCUGGAGGUAUUAUUCGACAGUCAAGAAACAAUGAGCAGCUGGAAGAUUUGGGCAGCAAGUGCUUUGGUGAUCUAGUGUCGAGGUCAAUUUUUCAGCAAACAGCAAGCUCUGAUAGUUCUAAAUUUGUAAUGCAUGACCUUAUUCAUGAUCUUGCUGAAUUGGUCUCUGGAGAAACCAUAUUCAGGUUAGAGGAGGCCAAUACUCUGUCAAGAAGAUUUGAAAGGGUUCGCCAUUCUUCCUAUGCUUGUGGUGGAUGUGAUGGUAAAAAUAUGUUCGUGGUUUUCAAUGAAAUUGAACAUCUACGAACAUUCUUGCCAUUACGCUUACGCAUAAGAGGUGGCUCUAAUACUAGUUACAUAACUCGUACGGUUCUAUCUGAUUUGCUGCCGAAGUUCAAAAUGUUGAGAAUGCUAUCUUUACAAGGAUACCGUAUUGGUGAGUUACCAAUUCCAUUUGAAGAUUUGAGACUACUAAGGUUCCUCAACCUUGCUGACACUGACAUAAGAAGUUUACCUGAGUCAACAUGCAAAUUGCUGAACUUGGAAAUUUUGAUAUUAAGAAAUUGUUCCUAUUUGAUAAAGCUUCCGCAGAAAAUGAGGAAUUUGAUCAAUUUACAUCACCUCGAUAUAAGAGGUGCGAAGUUGCUGAAGGAGAUGCCAUUCGGAAUGAAAGAGUUGAAGAAGCUUCAAACAUUGUCCAAUUUCAUCGUGGGCAAGGGCGAAACUGCAUCUGGUUUGGAAGAUUUAAAAUGUUUAAACUUUCUUGGUAAUGAACUUUGCAUUGCUGGAUUAGAGAAUGUGAAUAAUCCACAGAAUGCAAGAAGAGCCGCAUUAUGCGAGAAGCUCAAUCUUGAAGCAUUGACUCUAGAAUGGGGGUCUCAAUCUGACAGUCCUCGAGAUGCAGUACCAGAAGAGAAUGUACUUGACACUCUACAGCCGCAUAAACGUAUAAAAGAGCUGGCAAUCAGACACUAUGGUGGUGCAAGAUUUCCACUUUGGAUCGGAGAUCCUUCAUUCUACGAGAUGAAGGUCCUUAAAUUGGAGAACUGUGACAAUUGUGUAUCUUUGCCGUCGCUUGGCCUGAUGAGUUCACUUAAGCACCUUGCUGUUAAAGGGCUGAAGAAACUAAAAAGCAUAGAGUCUGAGGUUUAUGGGGAGGGUUUCUCAAUGCCUUUUCCGUCACUGGAGAUUCUAAGUUUCGAGAAUUUGCCAGAAUGGGAGCAUUGGGACACCGAGAUCAAAGGAAAUGCGCCUGUUGAUUUAUUUCCUCGUCUCCAAGAACUUUCCAUUGCAGAAUGUCCCAAACUCUCUGGACAACUGCCUGAGCUCCUGCCUUCCUUGAAGACACUUGUUGUUAGUAAAUGUGAAAAGUUGGUAGUUCCAUUGUCUUGCUAUCCAAUGCUUUGCAGAUUAGAAGUUGAUGAGUGCAAAGAACUAGUCUGCCGGACUCCGAUUGAUUUUAAGUUGAUAAAGUCCAUGACUAUUUCAAAUAGUUCAUUAGACAUGAAUGGACGCAAGGGGAUGUUAUACGAUGGUCCAGCUGGCUCUUCACUGCCAAACCCCAUGACUACUACAAAUGUUUUAGAGUUUGGAAAAUUAUUGAAGCCUGGAUUUCAGAUAUUCGAAACUUUGGUAAUUGGCAAUUCUGAACAGCUCAAGUUAUGGAGGCAGCAUGGGGAUUUUCCGAAAAAAUACAUGGUCACUGACCAUGGGUUCAAGAAACCAGUACGAGGGCUGAAUAUGCUCGCUUCCCCUGAAGAGGUAACAAUUGAAGAAAGUUGCGUACGUCUUGUUUUGAUUCCAGAGAUCAAUUUCCUUCUCAGAAAUCUGCGCUCUCUUAUAAUUAACAACAGCACUGCUUUCAAAUCCUUACCCGAGGAAAUGAUGGAAAACAAUUCACAACUCGAAAGAUUGUAUAUCAGAGAUUGCGACUCUCUAAUAUUCAUCGCAAGACGGAGGCUACCAGCAUCUCUUAAAAGGUUUGAGAUAGGAAAUUGUGAGAAAUUGCAACGUCUGUUCGAUGAUGAAGAGGAUGCUUCUUCUUCUUCUUCUCCUUCAUCCUCGUCUUCCCCAGUGAUGCUGCAACACCUGAGUAUAGAGAACUGCCCAGAGCUCACCAGUUUAUCAUCGGGUGUCCAAUUCCUUGAGGCGCUUGAAGACCUCGUGAUACAGCAGUGUCGAAAGCUGGAGUCAAUACCGGAUGGCCUGCCCAAUCUUAAAUGUUUACAGAGCAUUAAUAUACGGGAAUGUCCAAGUCUUGUUUCCUUAACAGAAAGAGGGCUUCCCAACACCAUUUCAUUUGUUUACAUUUGCAGAUGUGACAAGCUCGAAGCCUUGCCCAAUGAUUUGCACAAACUCAGCUCUCUUCGAGAAUUAUUCAUACAGCUCUGUCCAAAUCUUGUAUCGUUUCCAGAAGAAGGUUUUCCUACCAAUCUAACAACACUUGUAAUUGGAGAUUUCAAAAUGUAUAAGACACUCGUCCAGUGGGGGUUGCACAGGCUUACCUCUCUUAAACGCCUCUGGAUUGCUGUACGUGAUGAUGAAGCAGAGUGUUUUCCAGACGAGGAGAUAGGAAUGACGCUGCCCACCUCUCUCACUGAUCUGCACCUUUUUGAUUUCGAAAAAUUGAUAUCUCUGUCUGCGACGGGUUUUCAGAGUCUCACCUCUCUUCAGAGUUUGUGGAUCGGGAAUUGCCCGAAUCUCACAUCAUUUCCAGAGGUGGGCCUUCCAUCCUCACUUUUGGGCUUAGACAUUAGAUAUUGUCCAAAGCUUAAAACAGCGUGCAAAAGAGAUGAAGGAAAAGAGUGGUCC
This 54798-nucleotide long non-coding RNA is filed under the name Citrus maxima (pomelo). RNAcentral describes it as "long non-coding RNA (CMAX_LNC000711)". The record is from RNAcentral. Lineage: Eukaryota; Viridiplantae; Streptophyta; Magnoliopsida; Sapindales; Rutaceae.